Molecule: non-coding RNA, 50648 nt
Organism: Rattus norvegicus (Norway rat)
Lineage: Eukaryota; Metazoa; Chordata; Mammalia; Rodentia; Muridae
Source: RefSeq, a predicted model, not a curated record
AAUACCUGUGAGUAUGAAGGGAGCCCAGGGAAUUUGAAACCGCCCCUAUCUGCUCUCAGGAAUGUGGGAAAAAUAAGAGAAUUGGGAUUGGCUUGGUAGCACUCUUUCGUGAGUCUUAUCUUGAGUUCCCUUGGGAUGGAGCCCAAUUAGGUCUGCUUCUUUUCGGAAUCUUAGGGAAGUUGACCUGUUUACUCCUCACUGUCUUUAUGGCUCCUUUCUCCAACUGCCACUUGGGUCCUCUUUGACCUCUCAUUUGCUGCAUUAGCACCUCCAGGUCUCCUGACUUGGUACCUCCCUCAGCUAUGCUGAACAUCCACAGACUACAUACUGAGCAGGAUUUGGGAGUACAGCUACUAACAGCAAAAAUUAUGUAACCCUACGCGUUCCCUUCUUAGAGCACACAGUAGAAAAAAUAGACCGAUAAAGUGAACAAAAAUAUAAACACUAUGCCUGAUAAUGGCUGCCAAGCAGAGAGUCUGAACAUUACAUGAUCUAAACUCAGCCCCACCCUAAAGUUAGAGUCCUUGUCUGGGCUGCAGGGACAGAAAGCUCCUGUUCAACAGAGGAGACAGAGGGCUUAGAAAACAGAGGUCUCUGUGGAAAGUGAUAUGUGACCAGCCAGGGCUUGUGGUAUACUGGAAAGAAGGUAGAGGCUGAGGGAAUGGGAGCUCAAGCCCCACCAUCCUAGCCAACAUAUAAAGACUAUGCUGUGACCUUAACCAGAGAGAAGACGAUCUGUUCUGCCUCUUAAAGAUUAAAGAAGAAAAGAUAGUUGAACUGGAAACAGAAAAUGCUGUUCUGUCCCUGAGAUUGGCAGAGAUAACGAAGUAAUGUUUUGCUCUGACCAAUGAGCCACAGGAAUGGCUCUAGAUGUGGUCAUCGUAUACUACCCUGAAAGAACCGCCAGAGUUCCAGGACGGCCACCUUUCACUUAAGCAAACUUGUCCACAGACUGUGUGGGUCCCAUCAGCUGAGAGUAGCCUUCACAUUGCAGUGAUGUGCAUAUUUCUGCUUUUCAGCCACGAUGGACUUUAGGAUCUUCCCUGAGGACCCUACAAGAACCACAGGUGACCUGGAUGCAGAAGUCCUACCUGUAGCUGCCAUCCAGGGCAUAAGUCCCUCAGUGAGUGAAUUCCAGAUGGUUCUGUCUAAAGCAGCAUCGAGCAGGGUGGUGGGAUAGAAUGACAGUUGUGAGCAGUUCCCAUCAGCAUCAACUGUACCACAGACCCAGUCUCAGUGUGACACAGAAGACGACUACCUGGAAAGUUCAUCCACAGAGCACGUAAUUCUGAUUGGUGCAACAGUCUGGAAGAGUGAAAGACGUCAUCUCCCAAGGGCAAGUGCUGUGCUAGUGGACACUGAGGAGCUGCAGGGAUCAGACCCCUCCCCAUCCUUCUCCAGCCUCUCUUGUUCUUCCUUGAGAUGUUUCCUGCAGACCUGAAAGAUCCAGGCAGUCCAUGACAUGGGUUUGAAUUUAAUCUCAGGACAUUUUAUUCAUUGCCCAAAAACUAAGACCAGAUAAAAUUUAUUUAUUCAUUCAUUCAUUCAUUCAUUCAUUUCUUAUAUAUAAAUACAGGGUAGUUGUCUUUAGAAACAACAGAGAGGUCAUCAGAUCUAAUUAGAGAUAUUUGUGAGCUGCCAUGUGGUUGCUGGGAUUUGAACUCAGGACCCCUGGAAGAGCAUUCAGUGCUCUUAACCAUUUAUCAAUCUUUCCCAUUUCCAAGGUAACUUUUUUACUUUCAACAAGGUAUUCUUUAUUCAGGUUACAUCCUGAUCCCAGCUACUCUCCCUCUUCCCUUCCCAGUCCCACCAUACAAAUCCUUUCUAACAGUGCUCUCCCUUCUCUUUGGAGAUGGGGAUACUCCCUGGGUACCACACCACCCUGGGACAUCUAGUCCCAGGUGGACCGAGCACAUUCUGCCCCACAGAUUUACAAUCAGGCAGUCCGGGUAUGGGGAAGAGAUCCAAUGGCAGGCAACAAAGACUGAGACAGUCCUGGAUCUACUUGUCAGAUGACCCACAUGGAGACCAACUGCAGAUAGCUACACCAGGCUCUGGAGUUGGUUGCACAGGCUCUAGUAUACAUGGUCCAAAGUAUCUGACUGUAGGGGACUUCUUGUAGUGUUUUUGACCCCUCUAGUUUGCUCACAAUUCUCCCUCACUCUUCCACAAGACUUCCCAAGCUCCAUCUGAUGUUUGGCUGUGGGUUUCAGCUUGUGGAUGAAGCCUCUUCAGAGACAAGUAUGUUUCUUUUCUGUCCACAAGUAUAUCAGAGUAUCAUAAAUACUGUCAGAGGUUAUCUCUGUCACAUAGAUGGAUCUCACUUUGGGGCAGUCAUUGAUUGGUUGUUCCCUCAAUCUCUGCUAUAUCUUUAUCCCUGCACAUUCAUUAGCAAGAUAGAUUUUGAGUUGGUGCUGUGAGUGCAUUGAUGUCCACUUCCUCGUCUAGAAGUUCUUUCUUGCAACAAGAGGUAGCCAUUUCUGUCUCUUGCUCUGGUAGGAUUCUAACCUAGGGUCACCCCCGUAGACUCCCCCUAUGCUCUCCCUUACCAGCCAUCCAGCAAGUCACCAGAGAUCCCUGCUCCCUCCUGCCCAGAAAAUUUGUAUUCCCACUCCCAUCCCUCUCCCAAACCCCUCUCCCUUGACCUGAUCACUAUUUCCGUCUCCUUUCCUGCCUCUUCUCUUACCCUGUUCCAUCACUUCAUCCUUCUGAGAACUAUUUUGUUUCCCCUCUGAGUGAGAUUCACACCUCCUCAUUUAGGCCCUCCUUCUUUCUUCUUGUCUAUCUAUCUGUUAUCUUACACUGUAUGAUAAUGUCCACCUAUAAGUGAGUACACACCAUACGUUUUUCUGUGGUUCUGGGUUUCCUCACUCAGGAUAACAUUCUAAAGUUCAUCCAUUUGCCUAAAAAGUUCAUAAUGUAUUUAUUUUUAAUAGCUGAAGAGUAUUCCUUUGUAUAGAUAUAUAUCAUAUUUUCUGUAUCCAUUUUUCAGUUGAGGGGUAUUUAGGCUUUUUUUAGUUCUUGGCUAUGACAGAUAAAACCAGUAUGAACAAAGUUCAUCAAGCAUCCUUGUGGGAUGGUGGGGCAUCUUUUGUGUAUAUGUCCAGGGGUUGUUUUGCUAAGUCCAGUGGUAAAACGAUUCCCACUUUUCUGAGAAACUGCCAAUAUGAUUUUGAAAGUGGAUAUACAAGUUUGCAAUCCAAGCAGCAAUGGAGGAGUAUUCCCUUUUUUCCACAUCCUCACCAGCAUGUGCUGGAUGUCACUUGAGAUUUUUAUUUUAGUCAUUCUGAUUCAUGUAAGUUGGAAUCACAGGGUGCUUUUGAUUUGGAUAUACCUGAUGACCAAGGAUGGUGAACAGUUCUUCAAGUGUCUCUUGGCCCUUCGAAGUUCCGCUGAUGAAUUUAGCUUUGCACCCCAUUAUUAGAUUAGGAUAUCUGGUUUCUUGUAGUUUAACUUGUUAUUUAUGUAAUUUGGAUAUUAGUCUUUUGUGAGAUAUAGGCUUGGUGAAGAUCCUUUUCCAACCUGUAGUCUGCCAUUUCUCCUAUCAAGUGUGUUCUUUUCCUUACAGAAGCUUUUCAGUUUCAAGUUUCGUUUAUUGUGGAUCUCAAUAUCUGAGCACCACUGGGGUUCUGUUCGGGAAGUUGUCUCCUGUACCAAUGUGCUCAAGCCUAUUUUCCAAUUUCUCUUGUAUCAGGUUUGACGGAUAAGGUUUUAUGUUGAGGUCUUUGAUGCAAUUGGACUUGAGUUUUGCAGAGCUUUAUACAUUAGGGUCAUUGCAUUCUUCUUUAUGCCUGUAUCCAAUUAGACCAGCACCACCUGUUGAAGAUGCUUUCUUAUUUUUGUCAUAUGAUUUUGCCUCCUUUCUUGACAAUAAGCAUCCAUAGUUGUGUGGGUUUAUUUCAGGGUCUUGGAUUUCAUUUUAUUGAUCAAUCUGUCUGUUCCUAUACCAAUACCAUAUAGUUGUAUUACUAUAGCUCUGUAGAACAGCAGUAAAUCAGAGAUGGUGAUUCCUCCUGAAAUUCUUUUAUUGUUCAGGAAAGUUUUAGCUCCCUGUGUUUGUUAAAUAUUUCACUUGAAGUUGAGAAUUGCUCUUUUAAGGUGUGUAAAGACUUGUUUUCAGCUUUGACAGGUAUUGCCUUCACAAUUUAGAUUGGUUUUAGUAAGAUGGUAGUUUUCAAAUUAUUAAUCCUACCUGUCCAUGACCUUUCUUAUGAUAUCUUCUUCAAUUGCUUUAAUCGGAGAUUAAAUUUUUUGUCAUACAGAUCUUUCCUUUUCUUAUAAUUGCACUGAGGCCUUUUUGUUAUAUUAUUUGUUGCUAUUGUAAAUAGUAGUGUUUCCCUAAUUUGUCAGUCCCUUCAUUGUUUGUUUAAAAGAGUCCUACUGAUUUUUUUUAGUUAAACUUGUAUCCAUAAACUUUGCUGAUGGUGUUUAUCAAAUGUAGGAGUUAUCUGUUCUUUUUAGCUUUGUCAGUCUUGGACCCAGAGGGCAGAAUGAAGGGCUGUAAAGAUGACAGGGUGUUUCCUCUAUCCUAUCUUCUCCUUUGUCAUUCCAAGGGCAGUAAGCCUAGAAAUUACCUUUCCAUUCUUUCUCCAAACUCCAUUUGUUUACCAGACAGUGAUAGCUGAGAAUUCCAGACCACUACUGUGUCAUAGUGGUCCCUGUCUGCAGGAUACAAGCCUCUCAGCCUAGGGCAUUCUUGUGUCAUGUGGACCCUGUCUGCAGGAGAAUGGUCUCUUAGGGCAGGUGAAAUGUUGCCUGUAUGUUCUUCAAUUUGCAUGAGGUGGCUAGAAGGAGGUUUUUAUGUAAGGCACACAACACAUCAUUCUUCAACAAUGUGAGCCUUCAGAUCUGAUGUAAAUAUUUGAGAUUGAAUAUCUAGUUCAUGAUUUAAUUUCAAAAAUUCUAAAGAAAGGUUUCAGAUUUGAUGCUAGGGAUUUUAUUUUUAUCAAUUCAAAUCAACAUUACACUAAUCGUUGGUGGACAUUAUAGGUGACAGUUCUGUUAGAGAGUUAACUAAUUCUUCAGAGGUUCCAAAGACUCUAGGACUCUCACAGCAUUACACAGCAUUCUUGCAGGUAGGAGCAAAGAUGUCUGAGAAGAGUGGGAGCUCAUAGGUGGCCGUCAAACAUAGCUAUCUGAAAAGAUGUAAAUUUAGUAAAGAGAUGUAGAUACACUGUCAGGAAAGGAAGAAGUGUGUUGCUGUACCUCCUGUGACUUAAGUGCUAGAAGAACACUUGUGUCAGUCGAGUCUGCAACUCUUUCUCAGCAUAAUAGAGUUAUUUAAUUUUAAUUCCUGAAUUUUGCACUGUCAUUCCUUAGGUGAUUUAUGGAAAAAGACCUCAGUUUGCUUAUUUUAUGUGAAAGGGGAUUUUAUGAUUUCAUCACAUUUUCUAUUUUCAGAAUCCCUAAUGUGGGUUCAGAAGAUUUUUCUGAUCCAUAGAAAUCUGUGCAUCAGUGAAAUAUGCACACUUUCAAAUAAAACAGAAGCAUUUUCAACCCAAAAAUUCUUUUUAAUACAAGCUAUACGAUCAAGUGUUGAAAUACAAGCAUAAGUAUUUUUUUUUACAUUUAUCGAGUUUCCUAUUUGAAAGUGUGUCUUUGCUUUUUCCUCUGUAAGAGAAUAGAAUGUCCCAGAGAGCUGAUGAAGGAUUUGCACACUUGUCUUGCCUAGGAAGUGCAUUCUCCUUGUUUCUGCAGCACAUGGGCAGCCUUUGGUGGCAUAACAAUACCUCCCAAAGAAGAGCAGGUACCUGCUAUCCCUAGUGCGUGGGAAGACAGAUGCACUCAAGAACCUGCAAGCAUCUGAAAAAUCUGCAUGUGUGUUUGUGAGACCUGUAGUGAAAUAGACUUGGCCAUCCCUGGGCAGUGAGGUCAGAUGUGAAUAUGUGUUGUAAGAGCACAUUGAAUAGCAUACAUUACUGUGGGGAAAUGUCUCCUUUCACUGCCCCAUGCUAAUGCCUGGACUCCCCAAACAUAUUCACUGAUAAGCCCAUUGCCUUAAAGGUCUUCUGGUCGUUCAUGUUUGAAAUGUAAGUGGCCACUCAGUACUGAUGGAAUGAAGGUAUGCUUUAUUAUCAUGGCACAAGGUACACUGAUCAGUUCCAGCAGGCUGAAGGGUCAGUGAGAUGUUGUGUCCCCUCACUCUCAUGCAUACUUUGCUUGAGCAGGGCAGCAGGACAGCAUCCAAAUCUCAGGGGAUGGGUGAAAUACAAGGAGGGAGUGAGGCGGUUGUUACUCAAAGGAUGUAAAGUUCAGAUGAACAGGGAAUGACUGUGACUACUGUUAUAUGGUAAACUGUGACACUCCGCAGUGUCCUGUAAAAAAUGCAAAGGAACUUUAAGAAAGGGAAGGCAUGUUUGAGGGUUUAAGGAAUUUGGGGGGAACAUUUUUGGAAGAGCAGAAUUUAUAUAUUAGAAUUAGAGUUUGUAUUUCGAUAUUUUAAUUUACAGGUUUUUUAAAUCUGUGGAGAUAUCCAUUAGAAACUAGAUUUGGUACUCAUCGAGGACCAUGUCUUCUUAUGCACCCUGUCCUGUGUGGGAUUUGUGGCUCUGACCUACUGUUUUCCCUGGUCUCUGUACCACUUCAUUUUCUGCCAAAUCCUACAUGAGUCUUCCUCUGUCCAUUCCCAGGUAAUAAAGUGUUUUCAGAAACACAUAUACUCAUGAAUUUAUGAUACAAUUAAAGCAGAAUAGGUUGGUUGAUUGACUUGGCAGAAGAAAUGUUCAUCUCCUAAAGUGCCGGGUGAUUAUGUUUGUUUACAAAAUUUUUCAACUUAUUCACUCAAGGCAUUGGGAGGUAAGUGCCAGUCUUGAGGUUGCUUAAUCAUUUUUAGCAGUAUACAGAUAGUACUGCCCCUGCUCACCCUGUGAUCCCAGGCAGUCACAUACAUGACAGGUUAGGGGAUCAGACGAGAAACCAUAUGUGUGUGUAACUGUUAACACUGUGAGAAAUGAACACAGAACCUGUGCAGGUUGAUUGAAGGACCCUAUAAGACAUUAUCUGUUAGGUAGGCUCUCUUGAGAUAGUAGAGGGCAUGGGGAAGAGUCUCCUCCAUCGGAAGGCUCAGGAGGCAGGAUCGCAAGUUGGCUGGGAAAGUUAGGUCUCCAGGUGAUACGAGUAUUCAAUGCCACAGUAAAUUGAUUUGUACUCUACAAGCAGUGUGGGGACUCUGUUUUUCUUGAGAAGGCAGAAGCAAAGUCCCAUAUUCAAUGAGCAGGUAAUCUACCCAGGAAAACUUCUGUGGGUAGGCAUACCGCUUUUGCUUAUGAGUGGCCAAUGAACAAUACCCACCGCCCCUCCCCCUACAGACUUAGCUAUGCCCUGAGGGGAUUUCCAGAACAGAGUUAGUGGCAGUUUCAGCAUCAAAUGCCAGUGAGUAUGAAGGGAGCCCAGGGAGUUUGAAACCAUCUCUCCAUGCUCUAAGGGACGUGGAAAAAAUAAGAGAACUGGGGUUGUCAUCGUAGCACUGUUUUCUGAGUCUUGAGUUCCCUUGGGAUGGAGAUCAUAUUUUCAGAAUCUUAGGGAAGUUGACCUGUUUACUCCCAACUGUCUUUAUGGCUCCUUCCUCAAACUCCCACUUGGGUCCUCUCUGACCUUGCAUUUGUAGCAUCAGCACAUCUAGGUCCCCUGACUUGGCACCUCCCUCAGCUAUGCUGAACAUUCACAGACUCCAUACUGAGCAGGAUUUGGGAGUACAGCUACUAAUACCAAAAAUUAUGUAACCCUACUCUUUGCCCUCGUAGAGCACACAACAGAAUAAAUAAAUGGAUAAAGUGAACAAAAAUAUAAACACCAUGUGUGGUAAUGGCUGCCAAGUAGAGAGUCUGGACCUUACCUGAUCUGAAAUCAGCCCCACCUUAGGCUUAUGGACAGGAUACUGCGAAGGGGAAAAACAUUUGAAAUGUAAGUAAAGAAAUAUAUCUAAUAAAAAAUUAAAAAACCAACCAACCAUACAAACAAACAAACAAACAAACAAACAAACAAAAAAGACUAUACUGUGACCUUACCCAGAGAGAAGAUGAUCUGAUCUGCCUCUUAAAAGUGAGAUUUUAGCAGGUAGUGCUUGCUGACCAGAGAGGUCAGAUGCUUGCUGAGCAGCCCCUUAGAAGACAAGGCUUGACUUCCAACUAGCAGACAAGGAAGUCUGUGGGCAUGCUCCAAGGAAACUGGUGAGAGCCGCAGGCAGCAUUUUGGAUCUUUGCAAAUUUGCCUAAGUGUACAUUGAAGGAAGAAAUCUCUGUCCCAGCAACAAGUGCUCAGUUCCUUAAGGAGAGCACAACCCUGCCUGCUUCAAGCUCCAGAAGCUACCCAGAAGCUUCAUCCUGGGACUGUACCUUAGCACUAACUCAGAACCACUUUACCUCACCUUGAGAGACUAAUCUUAGGACUUCCAUCCAUCCCAAGGUACAGCUGGGCUUGUAGCAUCAAUCUCAGACUCCAGGGCACACCAAGAAUGCACACUGUAAUAAUCUUUGUGGGCUGUCUCCACAUUUGAGCAGAGGUUUCUGUGGGCUUGAGAUUGGAAGUCUUGGGUCCAAGAGUUGGCUCCAGUUCUCCUCAGUUUGUAGGUAGCAGAUUCCUCUUGAUGUCCUGUGUUCUCUCUCUGUACCCUUCUAAUGUCUGUGGCUCUAGGGUUCCCUUCAUAAGGACCCCAAAGACAUUACAACAGAGCCCACUUUUCAGGCUUCCUUGAAUCGAUGACCUUGAAGGCACUGUCUUUAAGUGUCACCUGCUUAGUGUCAGGGACUUCAUCCUUCACCAUAUGAAUUGGGGUGUAUCUUGUCCAACCUAAGGCACUCAAGAGAGACUCAUAGGGUCAGGGCAAACCUGACAGAAAUUUCUCACAGAGCCCCAUUCUAAUUGGACCAGACUUUGUAAAUGUUUGUGUCCCAGGUCUUUCUGGUACUGCUGUCCAAAAUUGUUCUCAUGGUAUAAAUCCGUCAUUUAUGGAGGGAAACUGAACAAAAGGCUUCGCAUCAGUAAGGAAGAAAAAGGCAGUCGACUUGUAGAUGGAAUCCAAUUAUAAAUAGAAGAGACCCUAAGGAAUCUGCUAAAAUUUAGCACUGAAUAGUGAGUUAUACAAGACCAAUGAAUAUAAGAUCUGUCAGCAGAAAUGAAGCAGUUCUGUAGCCUAUCAGUAAACAGCACAAAAUUAAGGUAAAAUUUCUAUGUCAUACAGCAUGUUUAAAAAAAUCAAAAGUAUUUUCAAAUUACUUUGACCAAACACAUACUAAACUUUUAACUAUAGCUUCUAUUAUUUUUGAAAUCUAGAAAAUAAUAAACUUCAUCAACAUAUUACAGAGAUUUUCAUAAUCAAGUGAACACAUUUACAAAUUGACAGUGUAUAACUCAGAGGUUUUCAAACUCACACCAUGGGCUCUCUUUACCAAUCAGAGUUUAGAAGUGCAGUGUCUCACAUUACUCUGUGAGAAGAUUUAGAGAGUUAAUUCCCUAACAGCAGGGUCCGCAUCCCAAUGUGGAGACAGAAUUCCCUUCAAGAGGGUCUAAAUCACCUGCAGGUAUGAGUAGCCCCCUCAAAGGAAGGACUGAAUCUCCUGCAGGCGAGAAUGACAAAAAUGAGAGGAUCCAUAGGAGGAGGGACUUAAUUUCUUCUCUGAUGAGACUGGAGCACCAGCAGGAAUUUGACUCUGUAGUCUGAGAGAUUAUUUUCAUCAUGAUGUUCUGAGUUCCCUGAAUCCACAGCUGGAACACUGAGCCACCACCAGGAACACUGAACCUGGACCAGUUGUCUUAAGGGCAUUAAAUACGAAUUUCACUUCUUUGGCUAUUAAAAUCCCACCAUGCUCUAGCUUCCUUCCAACAUCCACCACCCUUCAUUCCCCACCAUCUCAGCUUCUCAAUGAAUCCUUCCUCUCCUUGAUUUUCCAAGCCUACCUACGUCUUAUGAGCACCUACACACACACACACACACACACACACACACACACACACACACACACACACACACACACCUGGCUUUGAAGGGAUCCGAUUUUGAUUUUUAAGGCUGAACUGUUUCUAUGGCUUUCUCUGUAAACUCUGCUUCCCAGCUACUUUCCAUGGCACCUUCCUGACCAAAAGAUAAAAGAGUCUCAAGUGUACAGCUUGCAUCCCUGGUAGUCCUCAGGUCUGGAGCUGAUGGGCUCAGAGCCAUGGGGUGUGUGUGGGUAGCCGGCCAGGCCUUGCUGAGGCUGACUUGUCUUGCCUCUGCAGUAUGUGAAGGAGUCUUCACAACCUGACAGUUGACUUUCUCCUUGCUGAGACUCUUUCUACCAUUUCUUGCACUCUGUUCAAUCAUGGUAUUUCAUGUGGGCAUGUACAUGCUGUGUUGGUCCAUUUUUCUUUUGGAUCCUGGGUUGCAGGUUAAAGAAAAAAAAGGUAGUUGAACUGGAAACAGAAAAUGCUAUUCUGACCCUGAGAUCCGCAUAGGUAAUCUCUGUCCUGUAGACUGAUUGACUGAUGAGACACAUGUGAGUGUUAGCUUUGCGGAGACUACUGUAGUUGUAAAAGAUGGAAAGGACUGCGGCUUUCCUUUGACGGCUGGUCCCCUCCAUUGAGAUUGCCACUUAGUGUGUCAUCCAGUAGUGGAACAGAGAUUAAUCCUAAAUCUUUCUUCCUCGUGCUCAGAAGUAUUUAAGGAAUAAUGCUUUAAUGAUACAUCCAACAGCUGGUCCUGGACAGCUGUGUUGUACUGUUUAUGCACCAUGAUUCACCCACAUUAAUUUUAAUUGAUGUAUAGAUAUAGUAGUCACCUCCAACCCCCAAAUACUUGGUCUCAAUAAGUGCAAACCCAGGUCAUCAGAUAUGGUUUCUCAGACACCCCACAGCACGCCGCACUCCGAGUGGGAUGCUGCACAGUUCAGAUGCAGACAUUUCCAGUGUGGCUGGGUGUUCAGUGUGCCCUUCAUCUCCUCACAGGCUCUUCUGACACAACCUCCACUGAAACUCCAGUUGUUUCCUUUCCUUGGACUUUUGUUUUGAAGUGUAGUGCUCUUUUUUCAGGUCCUGAUUCUAGAAGGCAUUGAAUCCCCUGCAGACACACAGUCUGUCUUGUCUUAAACUGGUACGUGUGUGUGUGUGUGUGUGUGUGUGUGUGUGUGUGUGUGUGUGUGUGUGAGUGUGUGUGUGUGUGUAUGUGUGUGGAGUUGUUGUUGUAGUAGUAGUAGUAGUAGUAGUAGUAGUAGUAGUAAAUGAAGUUCCACAGACCAAGACAACAACUCAGGAUACAGAACCCCCUGCAAGAGAUCCUCAGCUGAAAACAUGGAAUUCAGGAGGGACUGAAGACAGCUGACGUGCAACAUGAUGCUAAUCUUACUAAGAUCCUCAACUUUUCACCCAAUACCUGUGAAGCUAGAGUAGCUCAGAACACACUGAGAAGUGUAGAGAGAAAGAAUUCCAUGCCUAUUUUCCUCUGCCUAUGAGAAAUAGGUUUCAGGACCGUAAAUAGUUUUUGAGGGUAAGUUUCUCUUUUAUAAAAACCAGUCUUUUUCUCUUAUAUACUACUUUAAAAUUAUUUAUUUUUAUUUCACUUGCUUUUGUGUUUUACCUGGAUGUGCAUCUGUGUGUGGCUGUCAGAUAUCCUAGGAAGUUUGUUGUGUAUGGGCAAUUCCAUGUAAAACAGAACAAAGAGGAAAUGCAACAUCAACAGUAGCAAUCAGGUCUCUCUCCUUAGGCCCCUGUGGAUGUAGCUGCCCUUGGGACUGACAGAGUCUUCUUUGUUAAUGCAUGCCAUACACUGAGCUACAGCUGUGAUGGCUCCUAUCCUAUGGCUACCACAGCACCUGAAUCUUGCCCUAUCUCCAGGAUACCUGCAUCCAGCCUUGUCUCCAGGCAAACAUGCUGAGGAAGAAACAUUAGCCACAUGUAAACAAUGUGGGAUUUGUAAGUACACAAAGAAUAUAUUUUCCCUAUCAAAUAUGCAUUAUAAAAGGAGGAUAGCAUGAAGGAGAGAGAUGCUAUAGACUAGGACUCCAGUUACACAGUGGUUUCCAUAUGGAUUUGUCAGACAUGACUAGGAAGGGUGUUGGGAAUCUGUGCAGACUUAGACAAACACAAAUGCUUUUCUGUAAUGGGAUCCAAGAGGAAAACAGGAUCAGAUGAAAGCUCCUUACCCAAGGAUGACCUCUCUUCAGUGAGAAGGCCAGAGUUAUGUGUGGCUUCCAUCUCAAGAUCUCGGGUGGAAUGUGUGAGUCAGGUGUCCUUGUGCCUGCUGUUCUCCAGUGCUUUUAACAAGAAGGCUUCCUCCUUCAAAAUGGCAAGCUUGAGUGUGGCAAGGUCUCUCCCUUCUGUGGUUGGAUUAUGGUUGUCCAACAAGGGUGUACAUGAGUAUAUGUGCACUGUGUGUAUUAUGUAGUGCCCAUAAAACCCGAAGAGGGUAAGAUAUUCUAGAUCUUGAGUUGCACAUGACUGUGAGCUGACUUGGAAGUGUUGAAAAUAAGUGAAGGUCCUCUGCAAAGGCAGCCAGUGCUCUCAAACCCUGAGCGAUCUCUCUAGUUCCUGCUCUGAAGGUUUUCUGAUGUCCUGUUGAUUACUGUCUGCUCCACCAGCCUGUUCCACAGGAAUCAGUCUUAUGAUUGUGUAGCAUCACAACACCAAAAAUAGUUUAAUCUCUGACUGGAUGCCUUUAAUGAUUUUACAAAUGAUAAAAAUUGACUAUAUUUGUUUUUGAAUAUUAACAGUGCCUCUGGAACUAAACUCAGAUCAUCAGCUAUUCCUUUCACCUCUGAACAAUCUCAAAAGCUCACACUGUAUAUUCUGUUCUGUCCUCAGUGUACCAUGUAUUUCUGUAAUCACCAGCAUUGUUAAAGCAAGCCAAAUGAGAUUUCUAAAAUCUUCAGAUUUUGAAAUUUACAUUCACACAUAGCUUGUGCUACACAUCAUUAAUCCCCCCUUUCAGGAGAGAGCAGGUCUCGUUACUUCAAAACCACCCUUGUGUACAGGGUGAGUUUUAGGACACCUUCAGUUUGUGGUGACACUCUGUCUCAAAUUAACCACACAACAACAACAACCCAACCACACUCACACAGAAACACAUGCAUGGAACACACACACACACACACACACACACACACACACACACACACACACACAGCACUGUCCAAUUGCUAUCGUUCUCAUUCCUAAAGUGAACUUUCAGUGUAACUGUACUUUAACCUCAACUUCCUCAGUCCUUCCAGUCUGCAGGCUUCUCUUAAACCCUGAGGAAUUGGCAACUGACAUCAGACCGGUUUCUACUUCCUGGUGGGGUAAUUGGUUUGUGUUGUUUUGUUAUUUUUACUCCCUUAGCAGACCUCCCUAGGCUCUGAGAAGAUUCCAUUCACUUCCUUCAGAGGACUUUAGUGUUUUUAAGUCAUACUCAACAAAGUAAGAAACCAUUUGUUCUGACUGCAGCAUUUAGGAUCAUGUUGAAUAGGUACCAGCAGAAUGUACGCUGUUUAAGAAGUAGGUCUGUGGGUUAGGACUAGGUGUAAUUUCAUCUGCUGAGUGAAUGAGUGUUUGCUUCAUGUCCUUGCCCCUUUUGCCUUCUGUGGUAUUUUUAUUCCUGAAGACUAAAGGGUUUGAGUUUGGGUUGGAUCCUUCUGUGAUUUCAGUGUCCAAUACCUCUAGACCUAUACUGUAAGUAUGACCAGAUUAACAGGGCUGUUGAUUUUCCAUGGAGAUGCUUGUUUACAUUUUUACUUAAUCCACAUCUUAUGUGAAAGAGGAGGGAGAGCAGCUUGCUGGCUCUGCAGCAACACACAAAGACCCAGAGUGAAGGUUCUCUCUGUUACUGAUUCGAAUUCCUGAAUCACCAUGACAUUUUGCAUGAGCUAUCCUCCACUGUCUCGGGCAUUUGAGUACUCCUUUCCCAGUUGGUGACUCUGUUUGGGAAGAUUCAGGAGGUGUGCCCUUGCUGGAGAAAGAAUGUCAGCGGGGCUGGGCUUUGAGGUUUUUGUGCUUUUGCACCACUCCCAAUGCACCAUCUGCUUUGUACUUGUGAUUCUAGAUGUCAUACCUCAGCCUCCUCCUCCUUCCACCAUGCCCUGUAGUCAUGGAACUUAACCUCUGCUAACACACGUUCUCUGAAAUAGAAUCACUAAUGUCCUACUUGUUUUAUAGUUUGCUGUGCUCAUGGCAUUUCUGUCACAGAAAUGCAAAUGUAACUAAUGCAGAAGGUGACUUAAUGGAGUGGACUCUUGCUGUGUGACACCUGACGAUGCCAGGUUGUACUUGUUUCUUGUUUUGGGAAAUGUGUAAGAAUUCCAGUGCUCUAAGAUGAGUUUAAUGGGCUACACUGGCAAGAACUUGGGAGUCAGGAGUGCCAAGAGCUAUUCAGACUGUGGAAGCCCAGGAGAAGGGGAUUCAGAAGGAAAAAAAAUGUUUGUAACUGGUCUAGGAUAAUUCCUAUGAGGCUUUUACAAAAAUGUGGCUUCCUUUCUGCCCACAUCCUAAAAACUUACUUGAGGCUAAAUUCAAAAAUAAUAAACAAAUUUCUUUGAUGAAAAUUUGAAGAGAGCCCAGUAUGGCCUCUGUCAUACUGUGCUUAUACUCUUCAAUGAAAAAUAGCAAAUGGGGCAAAAAGAAAUACAAAAUGUACAGUUUACAGAGAAAAAGACACUGGGAAUACUAAUAUUAUAGCCAAUGCCUAUACCAGAAGAGAGCCUGAAAUUGCUUGGAGAUUAGCAUCUUAAUAAGAGGCCAUGUCUCCUCAGGUGAAGACAUCACUCAACUAACUUAGUAAUCUGUGGUAGAAAAUGACUUACUUAGAGUUUUCCUGCUAUUAACAGACACCAUGACCAAAGCAACUCUUAUAAGAAGAACAUUUAUUUGGGUUUGGCUUACAAGUUCAGAAGUUUGGCUCAUUAUCAUCAAGGUAGGGGCAUGGCAGCAUCUAGGCAGACAUGUUGCAGGAGGAGCUGGGAGUUCUACAUCUUCAACUGAAGGCUGCUACUAGAAAACUGAUUUUCAUGCAGCUAGGACAAGGAACAUAAGGGUCACAUCUACAGUGACACACUUCCUCAAUCAAGGCUACACCUAUCCAAUGAGGGCUCAUCUGCAAAUAGUCCCACUCCCUGGGCUCAGCAUAUUCAAAUCAACACAUGAACAUUAGGUAUUUUUAGUUCCUGAUAUAACUUUUGAUCACAAACUGCUGCUGCUAUGGUUCAUGGGGUCCAGGUCUUCUAGAAAUCAAGCAUCUUCUCAUGUACUCUCAUCAGUCACUGGAAGUAAGGAAGCUCAAGAAAGGACUGCUGUGUGGUCUGAGACAGCUGAGAAAGUCUGCUUGAGAAGGUGUGUCAAUUUUCUUCUCUACAUGGAGAUAGUAUGGAGGUUACCUGACCUUAUCUGGCCAGUUUUCAUGUUUGGAACCCCUGGACCCUAUUCAUUGUCAGGUAGGAAAGUGUCAUUUGGCACUCAAUGACAACUUGUGCCUAUCGUGUACCCAAUGUUGAUAGAUGACUUAAGAAUGUAGGUUUGAAAGGUGUCCAGUUCUAUCUGGGAAGGAGAACAGCAGGCCUGAGAGGAACAGGCUUCAUGUGCAGAGGGAGGUAUCAUCUGUACGUGGGUGGGAGAAGUUCAGAGACGGUUAGUCAAACCUGUGUAUCCAGGAGAGCUCAGUUAACUGUGGAAACAAUAAGAGUAAAGGUAACUUUGAACUUGGAGGAAGAAAAGAUUUGUUGCAACUGUUUGUGGACUGUGCUUCAGAGAUGAUGAGACAUAGAGAAGCUCUGUCUUGGGUUCAUGGCACUAAGCAUGCUAGCUGAGUACUUCACAUCUUAAGUUGUGUAUGAUUUUAGGGGUCUUACACAGAGGUUAUCACCUUAUCUACCAAGAGCAUCUUGCUUUACUUCUAGCAGUCACAUGAAUUUAAAUUUCCUACUUGUUUGUGUUCUUAAAAACUCACUGAUUAGUUUUAGCUGAGCCUCCUGGGAGACUUUGCUCUUAAGUGCUGUAAGUUUUACAUAUUUGGUGAUUAACAUAAAUAACUAUACAUAGGUCAAUACAGGGCCCACACUGACAUCACCUUGCUAUCUGGAGCUGUUAGCUCCUAGGCCAAGGUUCUCAAAUGUCUCUGCCUCAGAAAGAAAUGUGGUAGUUUGAUUUCAUAAUCUACUCACAUUCCUUUUGUCACCCAGGAUAUCUGCUAGAAUGAGAGGAUUCUGUCCCAUGCAGGACAAUCUAGAUACUGCUCCCCCAGCAGGAAUGAAAGGGCCACUUCCUGCCUCUCAGGGGAAGUCCCUGGUGUUCACUGUAAUGUCACCCAACAAUCCCACCUUGAAUCUGCUGUUCCACUUGAGCCUGGAGCCUCCCUUUUAUUCUGGGAGAUAAACAGGUAUCUCCAGCUAGGCAGAGUGGUUCAAACAUGAGAUUUCGUGAGGGCAGUGAGAGUGGUGUAUACACAUUGAGGGUUUCAGAUUGAAUGAUACUGAACUUAAUGUACUUCCUAUUAGAGUCAUCUGUGAGUGACAUGUGAGCUUUGUAUUAAAAUUUACUUUUACGUCCAAGAUUUCAUGGUAUGUCAAUGCCCUACUUGCUUUUGAAGAUGUCCAAGGAACUGGAUAUAAAAGAGAAAAUACAAAUCAGAAAAUGUUCCUAGGUGUACAGCACUUGUUUAGAUGUGCAAGUCCCAGUGCUCAACUCCAAGAGCACACAUUAUGCCUUAGAAAUAGAUGAUAAGCUCUCUCUCUCUCUCUCUCUCUCUCUCUCUCUCUCUCUCUCUCUCUCAUGAGUGUGUGUGUGUGUGUGUGUGUGUGUGUGUGUGUGUGUGUGUGUGUGCUUGUAUAUGUAUGUGAGAACCUGAAGGUGAGCCCAGGGUCUGCGUGGUCCAGUUGGUACAAGGAUCCCACAUUGUUUGACUCUCAUGUAGACAAGUAUAAUGUUGUUGGGGUGACCAGCAUAUAAACAUUGGGACACGAGAGAACUAUUUACAAAGCCAACAGUUUUGACUGAUUUAUGUGAAUUAGGGCAGAUUUGAGAGCACACUUAAGAGAUUUAAACUGUGUUUGAGAAAAUUUUAUAUAUAUAUAUAUGUAUACACACACACACACACACACACACAUCAUAUCCCUGUACACCCCUUGGUUGGUGGUCUAUUUUCUGGAAGCUCUGGGUCAUCAGCCAGCAUAUGUUGUUCUUCCUAUAUCGCAAGACCUCCUCUGUCACAGGACAUCCAUUGUUUAAGCACCACCACUACCUCAGGAAGUCCACUGUCUGUGUGUCAACUCCACUGUUACAGGACUUCAAGUGUCUCAGUAUCUCAACUAUCACAGGACUUCUACUGUGCCGGAGCUCAAGUGUCUUACAACGUCCAAUGUCAUAAGAUCAUCAGUGUCACAAGAACUCCAUUGUCUGAGGAACUGCACUGUCCAAACAACACUAUGAUUGCAGGACAUCCACUGUGGAAACACCUCUACUAUAGUAGGGCCUCCACUAUCCAUAUAUCAACUCGACUGUCACAGAUCACCCAUUGCUGCAGGACCUCCACUGUCACAGGACCUCCACUGUAGGAACACUACAACUGUCGCAGGAUCUCCAGUGUCUUAUAACCUGCUCUAUCCCAGGACUUCCACUGUUGUAGCACCACCAUGGUCACAGCAACUACACUGUUUCAGGACAUCAACUGAAGCAGGACCUCCAAUGAUGCUCCAACUUCUCUGUCACAUGAUCUCUACAGUUACAGGAAUACACCUGUAUCAUCAAUUCCAACAGCUGGACCUCAGUUGUCACAGGACCUCCACUGUAGCCGAACCUUCAAUUUUGCAGCACCUCCACUGUAGGUAGAAUGACCUCCCCUAUCGCAGUGCCUCCACUUUCAAAGGACCUUCACUGUCACAGAACCUGCACAAUUUCAGUGCCUCUGCUGUUGCAGGACCUACCUCUUCACAGGAUCUGCACUGUUGCAGCAACUCUAAUUGCACUUUUACAAAGGCAUUACUGGUUAUUAGAUUUGAGGCUGAAUGGAAUGUGAUGUUACUUUCGCAAACAUAAGAAUUUGUUCUGUGCCUCUUGUGAUUAAUGCCACAUGUGCUAGGACCAGUAACUUAUGGAAAGAUUCCAUGAGGUCAUAGCACUCUCCACCUCACCUUGUGGAAACUGGUGUUUUCAGAGGAUGAUAAACUUCAGGUGAAGGGAUGCAGUCAGCAAGACCACGCUCUAGAGUGGGGUACACAGCGGUCAUAUUGAGUCCCUGCUGGGAAGAAAUCCAGAAGAGGGAGAAGGCUUGGGUUAGAGGAAGAAUCGUAAAAUAUUUAGAGAAUAUAAGAAGGUAAGAAUUAUGGGGAACUGGAAAACAGGGACAGAGGAAGAAUGAGCACAGAGCAAACUGGGAUGGACAAAGCACAAAUGUACCUGGGUUGUGCCUUCUGCAUGUUCUCUGGACGAUCGCCUUGUGCCUCAUUUCUGGGAGAACACUCUCUUCUCCCCAUAUAAAGUUUGUUUCUUGAAAGAAAGCAGCAACACAACUUCAUCAGUGAAUUCCCUAUUGAAAUUUGUUCGUUCCUUCAAAGCCUCUGGGAAGGCCCUAGCUGGGGAAAGUUCUCUCUGCUGAGAAACAGCAGGAAAGUAGGUUGUCCUCUGUGUUCUCAUUGCUACUGCUCUUCUAAGUGUGGUUGAUUGUUGAUUGAAGACACAGGGCACUUCCAGCAUGUAUGUAUGCUUUAUUCAGUGUGGGUGGCAUUGGCUGUAUCCUGAAAAGAAGGGCAGACCCUUCUGCCUCCUCUUUGACUAGGCUUAAGAUCAUAGUCAGACACUUAACCAUUGGAAGAUGAGACCAAUGUGUCUACAGUGUACUCACUUCUAUUCCUCUUUAGUCCUAGAGGGAAAUCAGUGCCAUCAGCAAGGGUGGGGAAUGGGGCCCUAACUGGACAAACUUGCUGAGCCUGGGUUAUGCAGCCAUGCCGGUGAAUAGCUUCCCCUUACAUUAAGUAAUAAGAUGCCAUGCUCUGGUUGUACCUUCCCUGAUACAGUGAAUCUAUAAUCUCUUGGCCUCAAAACCCAAUAUAUUACAUUGCUUUCACAAGUGGAGUGUCUGGCAUGAGAGGGAUCAUUUCCUCAUAGGGAUUUGGGAACCACUUACAGUCUUCAUUGAGCAUGGGUGUGUCAUCACCUAUGUGACUGUUAGCCCAUAUCUGUGAUUCACUGUCAUUAGGAGGCUAAGCUGCCUCUUCUGACACCCCACAGUGGGCCGGAUACACACCACUCACAACCUGUCUCCUCAGCUCUUGUAUGACAAAAUGUAACCCUACUCCUAAGUCCAUAUGUUGGGUUUAUUUUGUUUUUGGAACAUCCUAACGUUUUCCUAGGAAGAGAUCAGGUGCACCAUUAGGAUAAGCACCAUGCUGCCAGUUCAGCAUUUGCCCAAAUUUGACUUGCCUUGAAGGCCAAAGUUGAUGAUUUUGACUUUUCCAUUCUUCUCUAACAGAAUAUAAUCUGGUUUCAGGUCACUGUGUACUUUUACAGUGCCCAUAGCCGUAGAUUAAGCCUGCUAAUAUUUACCCAAAUAUUUCCUUGACCCUGUACUCCUCUAAGGGGAAAGACUUUCAAAUGUAUUUGUAAAGCUGUAAAAUUUCAACCAGUUUCAUGAUAAGUUAUUAGACUUGUCUCAGACUCAAUUGGAGAAGCAAGAUGAUGUUGGGGUGGAUGAAAAUCUUCAUUAUAUUUGCCAUGGUCAUGUUUGGCUGGCACCAUUGCUUCUUCUUUGCAUGCACUUUGAUAACCCCUGUAGCAGAACUUCCACUGUCCCAGCACCUGCACUAUCCCAAGAUCUCCACUCUCACCAGACCAAUAUUGCAGUAGGACGUCUGCGGUCAGGCAACUCCACUGUCUCAGACCCUCCAAAUUGCAAGACCUUUACGGGCAUUGGAAGUUACUGUCCCUAAACUUCCACUGUUGGAGUACCUCAACUGUAACAAGGAUCUCUAUCAUUGCAGAACCCCCUUGUCAUAUCACCUCUACAAUUAAAAGAAGUCCACUGUCAAAUGACCUCCAGUGUCUCAGCCCCUCCACUGUUGCAGGAUCUCUACUGUCUCAGGAUCACUACUGUUGCAGGACCUCCCCUCUCUCAGCAGCUCCAAUUUGCAGGAGCUCUCCUAUCAGAGGACAUUUACAUUUUCUGUACUUCCAGUGUCACAGCACCUCAACUGUUAAAAGAAUUUCCAUACUCACAAGACCGCCAAUGUCUCAGUAACUCCACUGUCCUAGGACCUUUAUGUUAUAGGACUUCUGCUGACACAAGAUGUCCACUGUUGCUAGACUUCCACUGUUAUAACCACUCAACCAUUACAAGGACCGCAAUUUUGGCAUGACCUCCACUGUCCCAUCCCCUCCAGUGUCAUAGGACCUCCACUCUCACAGGAUAAUCCACUGUCUCAGCAAGGCCAAUUUUCAGGACCUCUACUAGGACAGGAUAUCCAUGGUAGCUGGACGUACAAUGUUGAAGUAACUCAACUGUUGCAGGACCCACAGCGUUGCAGGACAUGGACCCUCUCAGCUUCUAGAAUUUGCAGGACCUCUACUGGCACAGAAAUCCCACUGUUGCUGGAGAUCCACUAUCAUUGAAAAUGCGUUGUCUCAUGAUAUUCACUGUUGCUGGACCAAUAGUGUGGCAGCACCUCCAUUUUAUCGAAACCCCUCCACUGAUGCAGGAUCUCCACUUUUGUCGUACCUUCACUGUCCAAGCAAACCAACUAUUUCAGGAUCUCCAGUGUCUCAGGGCAUUCACUAAUGCCCGUCCUCCAACGUUGUAGGAUAUCCACUUUCUCAACAGCUACACUUUGGCAGGACCUCUAUUGGCAGAGAAAGUCCACUGUUGCUGGACCUCCACUGUCAGUGCAAAUGCACUCAUUCAGGACCUCUACUUUUCUAAGGACCUCUAAUAUUGCAGGACCUCUAAUGUCCCAGGACCUCAAGUGAUGCAGCACCUCCUUUGUCCCAUCACCUUUACUGUCCCAGAACCUCCACUUUCCCAAGACCUAUUCUGUUGCAGGGCCUCCAAAGUUGGAAGAACUGCACUGUAUCAAGACCUCAACUAUUGCAGGACCUCCACCAUUUUAGGAACACAAAAGUUACACUGUCCAUCACCUUCACUCUCUUAGCACCUCCACUCUCACAGGACCUACACUGUUGGCAGGAACUCCAAUGUCUAUGCAACUGCACUGUCUCAGGACCUCAAUGAUCCAGAACCUCCAAUGGUGCAGGACCUCCACUGUCAUGGACCUCCACUGUCUCAGGACAUCCACUCUAUCACCACCUAGACUUUUGCAGGACCUCUACUGGCCCAGGAUCUCCAUUGUUGCUGGUCUUACAUUGUCUAAAGACCUCUACUAUCGCAGAAAUGCCACUGUUGUAGAACCUUCACUGUCACAGGGCCUCCACUGUCCAAGACCUCCACUGUUGCAGAACAUCCACUCUUGCAGCAUGUGCAUUGUCUCCUGACCUCCACUACGGCAGUCAAAUCUCCACUGUAUCGUGACUUCCACUCGUGCAGGUCUUCCAAUGUUGCAUGACCUCCAAUGUGAAAGUAACUCCACUAUCUCAGUGCCUCCACUGUUACAGGACCUACACUGUCAGAGGAUCUGCACUGCUGCACCAGCUCCACUGUCACAUUUUUGAAAGCAUUGCUUGUUGUUAGUGUUGAGGCUUCAUGAAAUGUGAUGCUACCUCUGAAAAGUUAAGAAUUUCUUCUUCAGCUCUUGUGAUUAAUGUCCAGAUGUGCUAGAUCAGUAGCGCCUAGAAAACUCAAUGAGCCGAUAGCCUUCGAAGCCUCACUUUGUGGGUUCUGUUGUCUUUUGGGAGUGCUAAAGUCCAGGUGAAGGCAUGCGGUCAGAAGGAUAACUCUAGUGUGGGGUACACAUCAGUUGUGUUGAGUUCCUGCUGGGAAGGGUAGAAAUCCAGAACUGAAAGAAGGCUUAGGGUGGAGUAAGAAUCAUACAAUGCUAGAAUAGGUGAAACAGAAACAAUUUUGCAGAAAUGGAAACCAGAGACACAGGAGGAACCAGCACAGAACAAACUGGGUAGGACAAAGCACAAAGGUACCUGCGCUGAGCCUGCCUGCUGCUUGUUCUUUGGAUGUACUCUAGCCUUUAUUUCUCAGGAGAGACACUGUGCUGUCCCAGGAGAGUUUUCUUGCUUCAUUGAGCACAGGAAUACUGCUUGAUUUGGAUAUUCCUAAUUUCUUGGUCCACCCUGUAAAUCAUCUGAGCAUGCUCCUGCUUGGGACAGUCUUGCCCUCUCCUGAGGCCCAGAGGGAUAAUAGGAUGUCUUCUGUGGUUUCAUUGCUGCUUUCGUUCUCCCUGAGGCUGCUUGUUGACUGAAGGCAGAAGACACCCUGCCAUGUAUGUUUUGGCCAGUGUGCUGUCACCUGGAGUGGCCUGAAGAAAAGGCCAGUCCCAGUGGUUCUUCUGAAUCUUCUAUGACUAGAGUUAUGGACAUAGGCAUAAACGAGGCCAUGGGGAAUGACAAGUUCAAUGUGCCAAUGGUGGGUUGGUUUCCACUCCUCUGAAGUCCUAGAGGGAAAGCAGCAUAAUCUUUAAGGGUAGGGAAUGGAGCCCUAACUGGACUCAAUGAGGGAGCCUGGUUGUGAAGCCAGCACCUGGAUAGCCUGCCCUUUCAGUAAGCCAUUGGACGCCAUUAUCCGUUAAUAAUUUUUUUUUGAUUUAAAGAAUCUUUAUUUCUUGGGCUUAGAACUGAAUAUAUUACAUCACUUCCACAAUUCUAGGGUGUGGCCUGAGGUAUCAUUUCCUCAUAGGGAUUUGGGAAACCCUCCCAUUAUUUGAAGCAAGGUUGCAUUAUGAGGUUUGUGACUGUCAGCCUAUAUCUGGGGUUUACUGUGAUUAAGAGAUAAUGAUGAUGGUUGACCAUCAUAAACGUUGACAAAGAGGAGUUCAGGGGCAACAGAAGUGUAAGCACCAGAGUGGUGCUUCAGCAUUUGCCCUGGUUCAACUCGGGUACUAAGGCGAAAUUCGAUUAUUUUGUUUUUUUCCAUUAAUAUCCAAGAUAAAUACUAUUUGGCUUCAGGUCCCUGUGAAAUAUUGUGUGCCCAGGGCAGUAGUUCAUCACUGCUAAUAUUUGCAAUAUAUUUUACUGACUUGUCCUGCUUUAGGUAGCCAUACUUUUGGAUGUAUUUGUAAAACUGUUGAGCUUCAACAAGCUCCAAGACAAGAUAUAAUAUUGUUUUGGUCUCAAUUAUUUGAAGAAGCCACGUGAUGUUGGGGUUGUCACCCAUUAUCAUCACUGCCAUGGUCAUUACUGGCUGGCAUUAUUAUUUCUCCAUUACAAGGACUUUGACAGCCACUGUCACAGGACCUAAUCUGUGGUAGAACCUCCACUCUCAGGCAACUCCACUUUCUAAGGACCUCCAAAUUGCAGGACCUCCCCUGACAUAGAAUGUACAUUUUUGCAGGACUUUCACUCUUGUAGCAACUCAACUCUUAAAAGACAUCCACUUUAGCAAGAUUUCCAGUGUCUUAGCACCUCCCUUCUUGAAGGACCCCCACUAUUGUAGGACCUCCACUGUUGCAGCACAUCCAUUCUCUCAGCAUCUAGAAUUUUGCAGAAUGUCAACUGGCAUAGAAAGUCCACAGUUGCUGGUUCUUCAAUGUCAUGAUAAAUCCACCGUAUCAGGACCUUCACUGUUGCAGGACCUCCAGUGUUGAAGCACAUACACUGUUUCAGGGCCACCACUAUCACAGGACCUUCUCUGUCACAGGAUCGCCACUCUCUCAGCACUUAUGCAGUCACAGGACCUUCAUUGCUUUGGACCUCCACUCUUGGAGAACCUCCACUGGUCAAGCACAUCCACUAUCUCAGAAACUCCAGUGUCUCGGGACAUUCACUGUUGCAGGAUCUCCCAUGUCUUAGCACACUUAUUUUUGCAGGACCUCCACUCUCCCAGACUCAUCUCUACUGUCUCAGGACCUACACUAUAACUGUUGGACCUCUAAUGUCACAGGACCUCAAAUGACACUGGAUCUCCACUGUCCAAUCACCUUAACUGUCCCAACUCCUUCACUGUCGCAGGACCUACACUGUUGCAGGACCUCCAAUAUCGGACCAAUUUCCUGUCUCAGGGACCUCCAAUGUUGCAUGACCUCCACUGUUAAAAGAUAUCCACAGUUGCAGGAUAGCUAGUAGAGUUUUGCAGGACCUGUAGUGGCCCAGGACCUCCAUUGCUGAUGGUCCUCCACUGUCUCAGUACCUUAACUAACACAGAACCUCCACUGUUGCAGCACCUCCACUGUCCUAGGAUGUCCACUAUUGCAGACAACCUCAGUCUUAAGUACCUCCAUUUUUGAAGGACCUCCAUGGUGCAGGACCCCCACUCUUAGAGUGCCUCCAUUGUUGUAGCACCUCCACUGUCCCAGCCUCAUCUCCACUGUCUCAGGACCCAUAUUAUUGCAGGAUCUCCAAUGUUGCUGGACUUCUACUGUUGCAGUACCUCCAGUGUUGCAGGACCUACACCGUAGCAGGAUCUGCACUGUUGCACCAAUUCUACUUUCACAUUUUGUUGACAUUGCUGGUUAUUAGAUUUGAGUCUUAAUGGAAUGGGAUAUUACUUUUGAAAACACAGGAAUUUUUUCUGCAUCACAUGUGAUUGAUGACCACAUAUUCUAGGACUGAUACCCCUGGAAGAUUCCAUGAGCCCUUAGUCCACCAGUCUUCACCUGGUCGGAGGUGUUGUGUUUUGGGAGAAGUUGAAUCCAGGUUAAGGGAUGGGAUCAGCAGGACACAGUUCUGUAGAGUGGGCUACAUAUCAGUCAUAGUGAGUCCCCUCUGGGAUGAGUAGAAAUCCAGAACUGAGAAAAUGCUAUUACAGGACCUCCAUUGUCUAAACACCUCCACUAUUGCAGAACCUCCACUGUCCAUACAUCAACCAGCUCCACUGUCCCAGAGCCUGAGAUGUUGAAGAAUCUCCACUGUCACAGGACCUCCAUUGCUGCAGGACCUCCACUGUCACAGGACCUCCAAUGACUCAGCAACUACACUUUUGUAGGACCAGCAUUGGCACAGGAUAAGCACUGUUGGCAGGCCCUCCACUAGCCUAUAACCUCCACUGUCCCAGAACUUCCACUGUUGUAGCACUACCAGGGUCAAAGCAACUACACUGUUUCAGGACAUCAACUGAAGCAGGACCUCUAAUGAUGCUGCAGCUUCACUGUCACAGGAUCUCUACAUUUACAGGAAUACCACUGUGUCAGCAAUUACAAUUUUGCAGGACCUCAGUUGUCACAGGACCACCGCUGUAGCCAAAUCUUCAAUUGUGCAGCAUCUCCACUGUAGGUAGAAUGACCUCCCCUAUCGCAGCGCCUCCACUUUCAAAGGACCUUCACUGUCCCAGAACCUGCACUAUUUCAGUGCCUCCACUGUUACAGGACCUACCUCUUCACAGGAUCUGCACUAUUGCAGCAACUCUAAUUACACUUUUUCAAAGGCAUUACCAGUUAUUAGAUUUGAGGAUGAAUGGAAUGUAAUGUUACUUUUGAAAACAUAAGAAUUUGUCCUGUAUCAUUUGUGAUUAAUGGCCACAUGUGCUAGGACCAGUAACCUAUGGAAGAUUCCCUGAUCUGAUAGCUCUGUAGCCCUCAUCUUGUUGAAGCUGUUGUGCUUAGAGGGUCAUACAGUUCGGGUGAAGGGAUUGGAUCAGCAAGACAACUCUGUGGAGUGGAGUACAAUUAAGUCGUAUUGAGUCCCAGCUGGGAAAAGGAGAAAUCCACAAGACGGAGAAAGCUUGUGGUGGAGGAAGAAUCGUAAAGUACUUAGAGAGUAUAAGAAGGUAAGAAUUGUGGGGAAAUGGAAAACAGAGCCAAAGGAGGAAUGACCACAAAGCAAAGUGGGAGGGGUAAAGCACAAAGGUACCUCGGUUGUGCCUUCUGCUUGUUCUCGGGGUGCUCUCGCCAUGCCUCAUUUCUGAGAGAACACUGUUCUGCCUCAUGUAAGGUUUCUUUCUUGAUGUAAAGCAGAAACACAACUUCAGGGAUUCUCUCAUCUUCUUGGUCCAUCCUUUAAGUCCUCUGGGAAGGCCCCAGCUGGGGAAAGGCCUGCUCUCAGCUGACAAACACCUGGAGAAUAGGUUGUCCUUUAUGUUCUAAUUGGUGCUGCUCUUGUAAGUGUGUCUGCUUGCUGAGUAAAUGCAGGGAAACCUCUGUCAUGCAUGUAUGCUUUGUCCAGUGUGGCUGUCAUCGGAAGUGUCCUGGAGAGAAGUGCAGUCCAGUGACUCUUCUGCUUCCUUUUGACUAGCCUCAUUAUUAUAGGCAGACAUUAGACCCUUGGAAGAUGAGGAGACCAAUGUGUCUAUGGUGUUCUCAAUUCUACUCCUCUUCAGUCCUAGAGGGAAAUCAGUGCCAUCACAAGGGGUAGGGAAUGUUUGCCAUAACUGGACAAACUUGCUGACCUUGGGAUCUGCAGCAAUGCCCAUAGAGAGCCUGCCCUUACAGUAAGCAAUGGGAUGCCACGGUCUGGUAAUAUUUUCUUUGAUGUAAUAUAUCUAUAAUACCUUAGGCUCAAAACCCAAAAUAUCCAAUUGCUUCCACAUUAGCAGUGUCUGGCAUGAGGGGGAUCAGUUCCUCCAAGGAUUUGGGAACCACUUCCAGUCUUCAUUGACCAGGGGUACAUCACUACUUCUAUGACUAUCAACCCAUAUCUGGGGUUGACUGCCAUUAAGAUGCUACACAGAUCUCCAGCUCUUCGGACAUCCCACAGUGGGCAGGAUACACACCGGCCACAACAUGUCUUCUCACCUUUUUAUAACAACUGAGUCAAAUCCUACAACAGUGAAAUAUAAGCCUACUCCUUAACUCAAAUAUUGUUCUUUGUUCCAUUACAAUGUUUGCCUAGGAUGUAAUAACAGGCAUCAAAAUUGUAAACACCGUAGUGCCAGCUCAUCGUUUUCUCAGGUUCAACUUUGCUAGGAAAGGCCAAAGUUGAUGAUUUUGACUUUUCCGUUCUUGUGUAACAAAAUAUCACUCGAUUUCAAGUCUCCGUGAACUACACCAUGCCCAUCACAGUAUAUCGAGUCUGCUAAUAUUUGCCUAAAUAUUUCCCUGACCUUGUCUUCCUCGAGGUGGCAAGACUUUCAGAUGAAUUUGUAAAGCUAUAGAAUUUCAACCAUGAGAAGGUAUAGAUGUGUCUCAGACUCAAUUACUUGGUGAAGCAAUAUGAUAUUGGUGUGGAUGAAUAUCUUCAUUAUAUUGGCCAUGCUCUUGUCUGACUGGCACCCUUGCUGCUUCUUUGCAUGCACUUUGAUAACCACAGUAGCAGGACUUUCACUGUCCCAGACACUGCACUAUCCUAAGACCUCCCUUGUCACAGGACCUCCACUGUGGUAGUACCGCAGCUGUCAGGAAACUCCACAGUCUCAUUACCUCCAAACUGCAAGAUCUCUACUGGCACAGGAAUUGUACUGCCCCUGGACUUCCACUGUCACAGCACUUCAACUGUUACAAGGACCUCUACUGUUGUAAGACCUCCUAUAUCACAGCACCUCCACGGUGACAAGGACCUGCAUUGUCAAAAGACCUCCAGUGUCUCAGCCCCUCCACUGACUCAGGACUUUCAAAUUGCAGGAACUCUACUAGCACAGGUCAUCCACAGUUGCAGUUCCUCAACUGUUAUAAGGACCUCCAUUUUUGCAGAACCUUCAGUGUCCGUGCACCUUCACAGUCUCAGCAACGCCAACUUGCAGGACCUCUACUAGCACAGGAUGUCCACAGUAGGUAUACUUACACUGUUGCAUUACCUCAAUUGUUGCAGGACCUCCGAUGUGGUAGGACAUCCACAUUUUCCGCAGCUAGACUUUUGCAGGACCUCUACUGGCCCAAAAAAAUUCCUCUGUUCUGGACCUCCACUGACAGUGCAAAUGUACUGUCUAGGACCUCCACUGUUGCAAGACCUCCAAUGUUGAAGGAUGUCCAUUGUUUUAGGACAUUCCCUGUCAAAGAACCUCAACUGACACACAACCUCUGCUUUUGUAGGAUUUUCACUGUCCUAGAAAACCAAGUAUUGCAGGAAUUAUAAACUUGGAGCAACUGCAUUGUAAUAGGACAUUUACUCUUGCAGGACCUGCAGUGUGGUUGCACCUCCAUUUUAGCCAGGUCUCAACUGUACCAGGCUCAUCUCUGCUGAAUCAGCACCUCCAAUAGUGCAGGACAUCCAAUAUUGCAGGUCUUCAAAAAUCCCAGGACCCCAAUUGAUGAAGGACUUCCAAUAUUGCAGGACCACAAUAGUCACAGGUCCUCCACUGUCCCAUCACUUUUAUUUCUCCCAGCACCUCCACUCUCACAUGGCCUACAAUGUUGCCUAAACUCCAAUGUCUGAGCAACUACACUGUCUCAGGACCUCGAUUGUUCCAGAACCUCCAAUGGUGCAGGACCUCCACUGUCACCAGAUCUCCACUGUCUCAGAACAUCCACUCUAUCACCGACUAGACUUUUGUAGAACCUCUCCUGGCAUAGCAUCUCCAUUGUUCCCAGCCUUACAUUGUCUCAAAACCUCCACUAUCACAGGAGUGCCACUGUUGUAGAACCUCCACCGUAACAGACCUCCACUGUUGGAGGACCUCCCCUGUCUAAACACAUCCACUAUUGCAGGACCUCCACUGUCUAAGGAAUUCCGCUGUUCCAGGACAUCCACUCUUGCAGCACCUUCAUUGUCUCUGGACUUCCACUGUACCAGUCCCAUCUCCAAUGUCUCAGGACCUCCACUCUUACAGGACCUCCAAUGUUCACAACCUCAAAUACAAAACUGCACUAUCCCAGUGCCUCCACAGUUGCAGGCCCCAAACUGUCACAGGAUCUGCACUGUUUCAUUAAUUCCCCUGUCCCUUUUUUGAAAGCAUUGCUGGUUAUUAGUUUUGAGGCUUAAUGGAAUGUGAUGGUAUUUUUGAAAAAUUAACAAUUUUUCCUGCACAUCUUGUGAUUAAUUACCAGAUGUGCUAGGAUCAGUUGCCCCUAGAGGUGUGCACGAGCCCACAGCCCUCUAGACCUCACCUUGUGGCAGCUGUUUUGUUUCGGGGGUGUUACAGUCCAGGUGAGGGCAUGGGGUCAGCAGGACAACUCUGUAGUCCGGGGUACACAUCAGUCACAUUGAGUCCUUGCUGGGAAAAGGAGAAAUCCAGAAUAGGGAGAAGGCAUUGGGAGGAGGAAGAAACAGACAGUACUUACAGAAGUUAAAUGGAAACUAUUUGCAGAAAUGGAAACCAGAGACACAGGACGAAUCAGCACAGAGCAAACUGGGCAGGACAAGGCACAAAGGUACCUGGGCUGUGCCUGCCUGCUGCUUGUUCUUUGGAUGCUGUGUCUAUCCCUCAUUUCUCAGGACAGACACUGUCCUGUCCCAGGGGAGUUUUCUUGCAUGACGAACAAAAGAACACUGCUUCAUUUGGAUAUUCCUAAUUUCUUAGACCAUCUCUUAAAUCCUCUGGGCCAGGCCAUGCUGGGGACAGACUUGCCUACUCCAGAGGCACAGAGAGAUAAAAGCAAAGGGUAAUCAUCAUAGUGUUGGUUCUGUAUUUGCCCUAUAUCAACUUGGUUCAUAAGGCCAAAGACCAUGACUUUGACUUUUCCUUUCUUGUCCAAGAAAAUAUCAUGUAUUGUCUUCUGUGUUGUCAUUACUGCUUCUGUUCUCCCUGAGACUGCUUGUUGACUGAAGGCAGCAGACACUCUAGCAUGUAUUCUUUGUCCUGCAUGGGUGUCAUCUGGAGUGCCUGGAGGAGAAGGCCAGUCUCAGUGGUUCUUAAUCCUCUAUGACUAGCGUUAUGGACAUAGGCAGAAACGAGGCCAGGGGGGAUGACAAGUCCAAUGUGCCAAUGGUGGGUUGGUUUCCACUCUAAAGUCCUAGUGGGAAAGCAGCAUAAUCAUAAGGGUAGGGAAUGGAGCCAGUCUGAGACUGGUUGUGAAGCCAGGCACUUGGAUAGCCUGCCCUUCCAGUAAGCAAUUGGGGGCCAUGGUCUGGUUAUACUAUCUUUAAUAUAAAGAUUCUUUAUAUCUCGGGCUUAGAACUGAAUAUAUUUUAUUACUUUCCUCCCAUUCUUUGAAGCAGGAUUGCGUUAUUACAUCUGUGAUUGUCAGCUUACAUCUGGGGUUUACUGUUAGUAAUAGAAAAUUAUGAUGGUUGACCAUAAACAUUGACAAAGAAGAGUUCAAGGGCACCAAAAUUGUAAGCACCAUAGUGCCGGUUUAGCAUUUGCCCUGUUCAAUUGGGGUACUAUGGAUAAAGUUGCUGAUUGUUCCUUUUCCAUUGCAUUCCAACAUUAUAUUAUAUGGCUUCAGGUAGCUGUGAAACAUUGUGUGCCCAUGGCAGUAGAUCAUCACUGCUGUUCUUUGCAAAAUAUUUUCCUGACCUUGUCCUGUUCUAGGUAGCCAUACUUUUGGAUGAAUUUGGAAAGCUGUUGACCUUCAACAAGCUCCAUGAUGAGACAUAAUUUUGUUUUGCUCACAAUGACUUGAAGAAGUGAGAUCAUGUUGAGGUGGUUACCCAUUAUCAUUACUGCCAUGGUCAUUACUGGCUGGCAUCAUUGCUUCUACAUUAGCAGGACUUUGAUGUCCACUAUGCAGCAACUCCACUGUGAUAGAUACUCUGCUGUCUAGGCAACUCCACUUUCUAAGGACUACAAAUUUUAGGACAUCUACUAGCACAGGAUGUACACAUUUGCUGGACUUUCACUGUUGCAGCAACUCAACUCUUAAGGGAUGCCCACUGUUGCAGGUUUUCCAGUGUAUCAGGCUGCCACUCUUGAAGGACCUUCACUAUUGUAGGACCUCCACUGUUGAAGCACAUCGAUUAUAUCACCAACUAGAAUUUAUAGGAUGUCAAUUGGCACAGAAAGUCCACUGUUGCAUGACCUCCAUUCUCACUGUAAAUCUACUGUCUCAGGACCUCUACCUUUGUAGGACCUCCAGUGUUGAAGGAUUUCCACUGUUGCAUAUCCACCACUGUCACAGGACCUCCUCUGUCACAGGACUUCCACUCUUCCAGGCUCAUCUCCACUGUCUCAGGACGUCUACUAUAUCUCUAGGACCUCCAAUGACGCAGGACCUCAACUGACACUGGACCUUCACUCUCCAAUCACCUUAACUAUCAAAGAACCUCCACUGUCUCAGGACCUUCACUGUUUCAGGGCCUCCAAUGUUGGAGCAACUGUACUGCCUCAGGGGCAGGACCUCCAUUGUCACAGGGCCUCCACUGUCACAGGAUAUCAACUCUUUUAGACUUUUGCAGGACUUCUGCUGGCACGUGACCUCCAUUGUUGAGGGUUCUCCACAGUUUCAUUACUUUUACAUUGACAGGAAUACCAUUCUUGCAGAACCUCCACUGUCCCAGGACCUCCAGUAUUACGGACUUCCUCAGUCCAAGUAGCUCCAUUAUUGAAGGACAUCUCUGGUUGCAGGACAUCCACUUUUACAGUGCCUCCGUUGUUAUAGGACACCCACUGUUCCAGCCUAAUCUCCACUCUCUCAUUAUCUCCAAUAUUUUAUGAUUGCCAAUAAUGGUGGACUUCCAUUGUUACAGUAAUUCCACUAUCUCUGUGCCUACAUUGUUUCAGGACCUACACUGACUCAUGAUAGGCACAGCUGCAUCAAGUUCACUUUCAAUUUUUAUUGACAUUGCUAGUUAUUAUAUUUCACCCUUACUGGAAUGUGAUGUUACGUUUGAAAGCCCAAGAAUUUGUUUUUUUAGCACAUGUGACUGAUUUCCACAGGUUCUAGGACUGUUAUCCCCUGGAAGAUCACAAGAGCUCAUAUCCCUCUAUUCCUCACCUUGUGGGAGCUGUUGCCUUUCAGAAGGUAAUGCAAUUCAGGUGAAAGGAUAGGAUCAGCAAGUGAUAACUUUGUAGAGUGGGGUAUACAUCAGUCACAUUGAGUUCCUGAUGGGAAGAGGAGAAAUCCAGAACAGGAAUAACCCUUGGCAUAGAGGAAGAAUCAAACAGUACUUACAGAAGGUAAGAAGGUACCAAUUUUAAAGAAAUGGAAAUGAUAGAGGAAGAACCAGCACAGAGCCAACUGAGUAGGACAAAGCACCAAGGUACCUGGGCUGUACCUGGUCCUUGUUCUUUGCAUGCUAUCCUUAUUCGUUCUUUUUGGGGAGACUCUGUCCUGCCUCUUGUGAAGUUUCUUUCUUGAUGUAAAGCCAUAACAAAGGUUCAUCAGGGAACUUCCCCCAUUUCUUCCUCCAUCUCUUAAAGCCUCUGCUCCGACACCAGCUGGUGAAUAUCUUGCACUCUUCUGAAGCACAGACAGAGAAUAUGUUGUUUUUUCUGUUCUCAUUGAUGCUGCUCUUCUCCCUGAAGCUGCUCAUUCAGUAAAUGUGGGAGACAGUGUCUUUUGUCCAGUGUUGGUGUCAUCUGGAGUGGCCUGAAGAGAAGGCCAGUCCCACUGGGUCUUCCGCCUACUCUAUAACAAGCAUUUUGGAUAAAAACAGAAGUUAGACCAUUGAAAGAUGACGAAACUAAUGUGCUGAUGGUGGGCUGGCUUCUGCUCUUCUUUAUUCCUAGAGGGAAAGCAGCAUCAGCAUCAAUGUUAGGGAAUGGUGCCAUAACUGUUCUCACUAGGUGACACUGUGUUGUGCAGCCAUGUCCCUUGAUAGCCUGCCCUUGCAGUAAGCAAUAGGAUGCCAUGGUCUUGAUAUACUUUUUUUGGUACCUGUAGUAUCUAGGGCUUGGAACCAAAUAUAUUGUAUUGCUUCCACAAUUGCAAGUUCUGUCCUGAGUGUGAUCAGUUGCUCAUAGGGAUUUGGGAAUGCUUUUCUGUCUCUCUUGAACUAGAUUUGCAUGAUGGCGUCCAUGACUGUCAGCCUGUAUCUGGGGUUUACUCUCAUUAAGAACUUAUGCAGGUCAUCCAGCUCUUCUCAUAUCCCACAGGGGGCAGGAUUCACACAGGCUACAACCUGACUUCUCAGCCCUUUUAUGACUAGUCAAAUGAAACCUCUGACUACCAUGAAAUGUAAGACUACUCAUGUCUUCCCUGUGUCAUUCUUUGGACUAUCAUAAAAUUUGCCUAGAUAGAGCUCCACGGCAGCAAAAGGUAAUCAUCAUAGUGUCGGUUCUUUAUUUGCCCUAUAUCAACUUGGUUCAUAAAGCCAAAGACCAUGACUUUGACUUUUCCUUUCUUGUCCAAGAAAAUAUCAUGUAUUUUGAGGUUUCUUUGAACUAUUAUGUGACUAUGGCAGUAGUUCAUGUCUGAUAGUAUUUACCUAAAUGUUUCCCUGGUUUUGUUCUCCACCAACUGGCCAGCUGUUCAGACGUGUCUGUAAAACUGGUGACCUUCAAGUAGCGUCAUGACAAGGUAUUGUCUUGUUUCAGACUCAAUUACUUGGAGUAGUGAAAUGAUGUUGGAAUGGUCAAAAAUCAUCAGUACAUGUGCCAUCUUCAUUACUGGCUGUCACCCUUGCUUCUUCUUUACCAGCACUUUGACAGCCACUGUAGCAGGACAUCCACUGUUCCAGUAUGGUAAUGACCUAGCACCUCCACUAUCACCGUUCUUCCACUCUUGCAGGACCUCCACUCUUGCAGGACCUCCACUCUUGCAGCAUCUGCAUUUAGUCAGGACCUCCACUGUACCAGUCCCAUCUCCAUUUUCCCAGGACCUCUACUCAUGCUGGUCCUCCAAUGUUGCCUGACCUCCAAUGUAAAAGUACCUGCACUAUCUCAUUGCCUCCAGUAUUGCAGGACCUACAUUGUCACAGGAUCCACACUGUUUACUAAGUCCACCGUCACUGUUUUGAAGGAAUUGCUGGUUAUUAUUUUUGAGGCGUAAUGGAAUGUGAUGUUACUUCUGAAAACUUAAGAAUUUGUUCUUCAGCUCUUGUGAUUAAUUGCCAGAUAUGUUAGGAACAGUUGCCUCUGGAAGAUUCCAUUAGCCCAUAGUAGGCCUCUAGGCCUGACCUUGUGGGAGCUGUUGUAUUUUGGGGUGCUCUAAGUACAGAUGAAGGCAUGGGGUCAGCAGGACAAGUCUGUAGAGUGGGGUACACAUCAGUCAUAUUUAAUGCCUGCUGGGAACUAGAGAAAUAUAGAACAGCAAGAGGGCUUGGCAUAGACCAAGAAUCAUAUAGUACUUACAGAAGUUAAAAAGGAAACAAUUUUGAACAAAUGGAAAUCAGAGACACAGGAGGACCCUCAUAGAGUAAAUUGGGUAGGACUUAGCACAAAGGUACCUGGGUUGUGCCUGCAACUUGUUCUCUGGAUGCUCUAACUGUGCUUCAUUUCUCAAAAGAGACAAGGUGUUAUGCCUCAGGUGAGAUUUCUUUCUUGAUGGAGAGCAGCAACACAUUUCAUCAGGACAUUUUUUUAUGUCUUGUUCCAUCCUUAAAGCCUUUUGGAUGGCCACUACUGGGGACAGUGUUGCCCUCUCCUUAGGCACAGAGGAAUAAUAGGUUGUCUUCUGUGUUCUCAUUGCUGCUUCUUUUCACCCUGAGGCUGCUUGUUGACUGAAGGCAGAAGACACCCUGGCAUGUAUGUUUUGUCCAGUGCAGGUGUCCUCUGGAGUGGCCUGAAGAGAAGGCCAGUCUCAGUGGUUCUUCUGAAUCCUCUAUGACUAGAAUUAUGAACAUAGGCAUAAACAAGGCUAUGGGAGAUGACAAGUCCAACGUGCCAAUGGUGGGUUGGUUUCCACUUCUCUGCAGUCCAGGCCUAGUGUGGAAGUAGCAUACUCAUCAAGGGUAGGGAAUGGAGCCAUAACUGGAGUAACUGUCUGAGGCUGGUUGUGAAGCCAGGCACCUGGAUAGCCUGUCCUUACAGUAAUCAGUUGAAUGCCAUGAUCUGCUUAGACUUUCUUUGAUAUAAAGGAACAUUAUGUCUUGUGUUUUGAAUGGAACAUAUUGCAUUACGUCCAAAAUUCCAGGGUGUGGCUUGAGAGGUAUCAUUUCCUCAUAGGGAUUUGGGAAAUGCUCCCAUUCUUCUUUGAAGCAGGGGUGCAUUAUCAUGUCUAUGAUGGAUAUAUCUGGGUUUGACUGUCAUUAAGUUGCUAAGCAGGUCAUCUAGCUCUCUUGACACCCAACAGUGGUCAAGAUACACACCUGCCACAUGUCUUCUCAACUCGUGUAUGAAAAUAGAGGCAACAUUUCCAACUACCUUAAAAUGUAAGACUCUAGCAUUCAUAUGUGGUUCUUUGAACUAUCAUAAAUUUAUCCUAGGAAGAGUUCAUGGGCAUCAAAAGUGUUAGCACCAUUGUACAGGUUCAGCAUUUGCUCUGAUUGUCUUGGGUACUAAGGUCAAAGUCAAUGAUUUUGGCUUUUUGUUUCUUAUCCAACAUAUUAUUUGUUUGUCCUGUGAUUAUUCUGUGCCCCUGAGAGUAGAUCCAGGCUGUUAAUAUUUGCAUAAACUUUGCCAGGCCUUGUCCUUCACUAUGUAGCUAUACUUUGAGAUACAUUUGUAAAGAUGUUGAACCUCACCCAGCUCCAUGACAAGGUAUCCACUUGUUUUGGUCUCAAUUACUUGUAGAUGAUGUUGGGGUAGAUAAACACAAUUGUUGUCAUUGCCAUGGUCAUUACUGGAUGGCAUAAGUGCUUCUUCCUCACAAGGACUUGGAGGCCACUUUAUCAGAACAUCCACUGUCUUAGCACCUGCUUUUUCCCAACACAUCCACUGUACUGUCUGUCCAAGCCUAUGUUUUGUUGCCUUGCCCCUGAACUUCCUGCCAUUGCAGAAGGAAGUAGGAUGACAUGGUCUGGUUAAUAUAUUAUCUGGUUGAAGUGUCCUUAGUUUCUAGGGCUUAGAACCCAAUGUAUUCCAUUACUUUUUCACAUUAGCAGGGUCUGGCCUGAGGGGGAUCAGUUGCUCAUAGGGAUUUGGGAACUGCUUCUAGUCUUAGUUGAACUAGGGUUGCAUCAUGACCACAAUGACUGUUGGCCUAUAUUUAUGGUUGACUAUCUUUAAGAGGCUAAGUAGGUCCUCCAGCUCUUCUGACACCCCACCAGAGGCAGCAUAUACCUCUAUUACAGCCUGUCUUCUCAGCUCCAAAAUUAAGAGAGAAUCAAAUGGAAACUUUCUGACUGCCAAAAAUUAUAAAAUUCCACCCAAGGUCCAUAUUUUGUUCUUUGGAACAUAAUAAAAUUUUUCAAAGAAGAGUUCAGGGACACCAAAAGUAUAAGUAUCGCAGUGCUGGUUCAGCAUUUCCCCUGGGUAGAAUGAGGUACUAGGCCAAAGUUCAUAAUCUUGACUUUUCAAUUGAUAUACAAACCAGCACUCUUUGGCUUCACGUCCCUGUGAAGUAUUGUUUGCCCGUAGAAGUGGCUCAUCACAGCUAUUAUUUGCACAAUAUUUCCCUAGCCUUGACUUGCUCUAGGUAGGCAUAUUUUGGCACACAGUAAGCAAGAUGAUCUCCUGGUUUGAUUAUGCAUUGUAAUAUCUUAGACUCAGAAUCCAUUAUGGUGCAGUUCUUCCACAAAUGCAGGGUCUAGCCUGACAGAGCUCAGUCCUUCAUAGAGAUUUGGGAAAGACUUUCAGUCUUCCUUUAACCAGGGGUACAUCAUCCCAUCUGUGACUGUCAACCUAUAUUUCAUGUUGACUAUCAUUAGGAGGCUAAGAGGUCCUCCAUCUCUUCUGACACCCCGCAGGGGUUAGGAUACAUACAUGCCACAAUGGUCUUCUCAAUUGUAGUAUGAAUACAGAGUAAGAUCUGACUUUUUUAACUACCAUGAAAUGUAAAACUCAGGUCCAUUUGUCAUUCUGUGGACUAUCAUAAAGUUGCUGAGGAAGAGUUCAGGAGCUCCAAAAGAGAAAGCACCACAGUGCCACUUCAGCAUUGCCCUGGUUCAACUAGGGUUCUAAGGCAAAAGUCUAUGAUUUUGACUUCUCCAUUUAUGUCCAAUGGUAAAAUUAUCAGGUUUCUGUUCCCUGUGCACUAUACCCUGGUCAUUUCAUUAGCUCACAGUUAUGAUUAUUUGCCUAAAUAUUUCCCUGCCUUUGUCCUCCCCUAGGUGGCCCCAUUUUCAGGUGCUUUGGUAAAGCUGUUGUCCUUCAACAAGUUCUUACUUGCAGAAGUGAGAUGCUGUUCAGGUGGUCGACCAUCAUUGUCUCUGCCUUGGUCAUGAGUGUCAGGCACCAUUGCUUCUUUAGAAGCGGUUCGAUUGCUCUGGGGCUGCCACUGAGUCGAAGGCGUUGCUCCUGUGUCCCAUGGUCCUUAAGACUUUGUAUUGAGAGUGGAAUUUUCCCUCAUCAGAAAUUCUGCUGAGGGCUAGGGUGUGGGGUCUGCUCUUUACAAUGUGUAAGCAUUGUAGCUAAAGAUACUACAAAUAUUACCUACAAAUAACUUAAAAGUAUAGAAUAAAAAUAGUGGAAAAGAUGUAGGGAAACUGAAGCUAAAUUCACAGCAUGUGUUUACUAAAAUGACCAAAAUGUCUUUGGGAUUGCAAUUUAUUCUUUUAUUUGUUUUUGUUUUACUUUUUGUUUUUGUUUUUUUCUUUGUUUUUUGGCUCUCUCAAGAGGGCAACCCUGUAGUGCAAUAGAUCACAUAUUCAGAUGAUGUCAGGUGAAAUAGUCAUUGGCCACAUAAAGGCUAAAGCCUGUGUUUGGGCAAUGGAAGGAAAGACACAGCAGAACUUUUUGGGGAAUGGAGAGAAAGAAGAAUAGAGGCGGAAGAUUCGGGCAAGAAGAAGAUGGGGGAGAAAGAGGUUGAAAAUGGAGCAGGCACACGUGGCUUGCAGGAGCCACAAGUAGGUAGAGAUUUUAUAAAUGGGCAAUAGAGUAGUGUAGUGGUGGAUUUGUUUAAUCUAAGCACUCAGCUUAUAAUUAUAUAAUUGAGUUUUCUGUUUUUGCAUGGGCCUUUUGGCGUUGGAGAUUUACCCCUAUAAAUCUGGCUAGUAGAAGCUUCUUGGGUUUUCAUUACAAAAGACUAAGGCAAAUCCUGUGAGAGGAGCAUUGGCCAGCCUUCUGCAGGUCGGGGAGAUGGGGUGGAUGAGAUAAGAAACGCAAGCAGCAGUCCAGGCAUUUCAGAUUAAAGUUGUUUGGUUAGAGUAGCAAACUAGGAGCAGGAACCAGGCAAGAUGGAUGCAUAGACCUGGCCAUGUGGGUUGAGCAUUACCACUGAUACCAGAGCAUAGCAGGAAUUUGCAUUCCUGUGUUCUCAUUGCUGUUGUGUUCUCUCUGAGGAUGAUUGUUGAAUGAAUUCAGGCGACACUGCUGCCGUGGAUGUAUGUUUGUCCAGUGUGGGUGUAAUCUGGUGUGGCCUCAAGAAACAAAGGGCAGCCCCAGUGACUCUUCUGCCUACUUUUUGACCAGAUUGUGGUCAAAGGAAGUCACUAGACCAUUGGAUGAUGAUGAGACCUGUGCGUAUAGGGCGAGGUAGCUACCACUCCUCUACAGCCCAACAGGAAUGCAUCAUCAUCAUCAAGGAAAGGGAAUAACUGGACUCAAUGUGUGAGCCUCCAUUGUUCAGCCUUGCACCUGGAGAACUUGCCUGUACAGUAAGCCACAUGAUCCCAUGGUUUUAUUUUAUAUUACAAUAUCUUAGGCUCUGAACCCAGUAUGUUCUAUUUCUUCCACAAUUGCAGGGUCUAGCCUGACAGAGCUCAGUCCUUCAUAGGGAUUUGGGAAAGCCUUUCAGUCUUCCUUUAACCAGGGGUACAUCAUCACAUCUGUGACUCUCAACCUAUAUUUCGUAUUGACUAUCAUUAAGAGGCCAAGAGGUCCUAUAUCUCUUUUGACACCCCACAAAGGUUUGGAUACAUACUUGCCACAAACGGUCUUCAAAACUGUAGUAUGAAGACAGAGUAAAAUCUGACUUUUUUAAUCUACCAUUAAAUGUAAAACUAUGGUCCAUAUGUCAUUCUGUGGACUAUCAUAACGUUUGCUGAGGAAGAGUUCAGGAGCUCCAAAAGAGAAAGGACCACAGUGCCAGUUCAGCAUUGCCCUGGUUCCACUUGAGUUCUAAGGUGAAAGUCGAUGAUUUUGACAUUUCCAUUUAUGUCCAUCAUAAACUUAUCAGGUUUAGAUUCCCUGGGUACUAUACCCUGGUCAUGGCAUUAGCUCACAGUUGCAAUUAUUUGCCAAAAUAUUUUUUGCCCUUGUCCUCCUCUAGGUGGCCCCAUUUUCAGGUGUUUUGGUAAAGCUGUUGUCCUUCCACAAGCUCUUACUUGUAGAAGUGAGAUGCUGUUCAGGUAGUCAACCAUCAUCAUUGUCUCUGCCUUGGUCAUGAGUGACAGGCACCAUUGCUUCUUUAGAAGCAGUUCCAUGGCCAUGGGUCUGCCACUGAGGCAAAGGCGCUGCUCCUGCGUCCCCUUGGCUUUAAGACUUUGUUUUGAGAGUGGAAGUGUCCCUCAUCAGAAAUUUGCCUGGGGCUUGGGUGUGGGAACUCCUCCUUACUAUGUGGAAUCAUUGUAGCUAAGAAUACUACAAAUAUUCCCUAGAAAUAACUUAAAAUUAUAGAAUAAAAAUGAUGAAAAAGAUGUAGAGAAACUGAAGCUACAAUCACUGCAUGUGUUAACUAAAACUGAGCAAAAUGUCUUGUGGACUGCAGUUUUUUGUUUUGUUUUUCUUGCUCUCUCAAGAGGGCAACUCUAUAGUGCAAUAGAUCACAUAUUCAGGUGAAGUCAUGGCAAAUAGUAAUUGGCCAAAUAAAGGCUACAGCCAGUGUUUGGGCUAUGGAAGGAAAAGAUAGAGCUUAAUGUUUUGGGGUAGGGAGAGAAAGAAGAAUAGAGACGGAAUAUUUGGGCAAGAAGAAGAUGGGGGAGGAAGAGGUUGAAAAUGGAGCAGCCCCAUGUGUCUUGCACGAGCCACAAGAAGGUAGAGAUGUCAUAAAUGGGCAAUAGAGUAGUGUCGUGGUGUAUUUGUCUGAUCUAAGCACUCAGCUUGUAGAUAUAUUAUUGAGUUUUCUGGUCUUUGCAUGGGCCUUUUGGGGUUGGAGAUUUACCCCUAUAAAUCUGGCUAGUAUAAGCCUCUAGGGUUUUCAUUACAAAAGACUAACGCAAGUCCUGUGAGAGGAGCAUUAUCCAACCUUCUGCAGGUCAGCCAGAGGUGGUGGAUGGGAUGAGAAAUGCAAGCAGUAGUCCAAGCAUUUCAGAUUAAAGGUGUUUGGUUAGAGUAGCAAACUAGCAGCAGGGACCAGGACAAGAUGGCUGCAUAGAGCUAGCCAGGUGGGGUGAGAAACACCACUACUACCAGAGCAUAGCAGGAAUUUGCAUUCCUGUGUUCUCAUUGCUGCUGUUGUUCUCACUGAAGCUGAUUAUUCAGUGAAUUCAGGCGACACUGCUGGCAUGGAUGUAUGUUUGUCCAGUGUGGGUCUCAUCUGAAGUGGCCGGAAGAAGAGAAGAACAGCCCUCUUCGCUCUUCUGCCUUCUCUUUGGCAAGAUAAUGGCCAAAGGUAAACACAAGGCCAUUGGAGGAUGUUGAGACCAGUGUGACUAGGGUGGGGUAGCUUCCACUCCUCUUCAGCUCAAAGGUAAUGCAUCGUAUACAUCAAGGGUAGGGAAUAACUGGAUUCGAUGUGUGAGCCUCUGUUGUUCUGCCCUGCACCUGGAGAACUUGCCUGUACAGUAAGCCACAUGAUCCCAUGGUUUGAUUAUAUGUUGUGAUAUCUUAGGCUCUGUACCCAGUAUGUUCUAUUUCUUCCACAAUUGCAGGGUCUAGCCUGACAGAGCUCAGUCCUUCAUAGGGAUUUGGGAAAGCCUUUCAAUCUUCCUUUAACCAGGGGUACAUCAUCACAUCUGUGACUGUCAAACUAUAUUUCGUGUUGACUAUCAUUAAGAGGCCAAGAGGUCCUACAUCUCUUCUGACACCCCACAGAGGUUAGGAUACAUACUUGCCACAACCGGUCUUCAAAACUGUAGUAUGAAGACAGAGUAAAAUCUGACUUUUUUUAUCUACCAUUAAAUGUAAAACUAUGGUCCAUAAGUCAUUCUGUGGACUAUCAUAAAGUUUGCUGAAGAAGAGUUCAGGAGCUCCAAAAGAGAAAGGACCACAGUGCCAGUUCAGCAUUGCCCUGGUUCCACUUGAUUUCUAAGGCAAAAGUCGAUGAUUUUGACUUUUCCAUUUAUGUCCAACAUAAUCUUAUCCAGUUUCAGUUCACUCGGUACUAUACCGUGCUCAUGGCAUUAGCUCACAGUUGCUAUUAUUUGCCUAAAUAUUUCCCUGCCCUUGUCCUCCUCUAGGUGGCCCCAUUUUCAGGUGUUUUGGUAAAGCUGUUGUCCUUCAAUAAGCUCUUAAUUGUGGAAGUAAGAUGCUGUUCAGGUUGUUGACCAUCAUCAUUGUUUCUGCCUUGGCCAUGUGUGGCCUACACCAAUGCUUCUUUACAAGCAGUUCGAUGGCCAUGGGACUGCUAGGGAGGCGAUGAUGUGAUAUCGGGACCUUGGCAUUGCUCCUUAAGUCCUUAAGACUUUGUACUGAGUGUGGAAGUUUCCCUCCUCAGAGAUUCUGCUGGGGCCUAGGGUUUGGGAAAUCCUCCUUACUAUGUGUAAGCAUUGUAGCUAAAAAUACUACAAAUAAUACCUAGAAGUAACUUUAAAAGUGUAGAAUAAAAAUAAUGAAAAAGAUGUUUGGAAACUGAAGCUAUCGUCACUUCAUGUGUUAACUAAAAUGAGCAAAAUGUCUUGUGGAUUACUGUUUGAAUUUUUUCCUCUCAAGAGGGCGGCCCUGUAGUGCAAUAGAUCACAUAUUCAGAUGAUGUCAAUUGAAAUAGUAAUUAGCCAUAUAAAGGCUACAGCCUGUCAUUGGGCAAUGGAAGGAAAAGAUAGAGCAGAAUGUUUUGGGAAAGGGAGAGAAAGAAUAGAGAUGGAUGAUGCGGGCAAGAAGAAGAAGAUGGGAGAGAAGAGGUGGAAAAUGGAGCAGGCCCAUGUGGCUUGCAGGAGCCACAAGUAGCUAGAGAUUUCAUAAAUGGGCAAUAGAGUAGUGUAGUGGUAGAUUUGUCUAGUCUAAGCACUCAGCUUGUACUUAUAUUAUUGAGUUUUCUGUUCUUUGACUGGGACUUUUGGAGUUUGAGAUUUACCACUAUAAAUCUGGCUAGUAUAAGCUUCUGGGUUUUCAUUUCAAAAGACUAAGGCAAGUCCUGUGAAAGGAGCAUUAUCCAACCUUCUGCAGGUCAGCCAGAGGUGGUGGAUGGGAUGAGAAAUGCAAGCAGUAGUCCAGGCAUUCAGAUUAAAGUUGUGUGGUUAGAGUAGCAAACUACCAGCAGGAACCAGGACAAGAUGGCUGCAUAGAGCUAGCCAUGUGGGUUCAGGAUAACCACUGAUACCAGAGCAUAGCAGGAAUUUGCAUGGGUUUAAUUUAAAACUUCAUGCAAUAGAAGAUGUUGCCUGUGGUAGUCAACAAUCCACUAGGGAGUUAGGAUUCUUGUCCUAGGGAUGAGAGAAUUAGAUUCCUGAAUGAGCAGAGAUGAGUCAAAUGACUCCAGCACAUGGGAAUCUUAAUCAAACACAGUGAUAGACAGACCCAAAUCAGGCUUUGCGUUCUCUUCCUGUAAAAAGAAUCAGUAUAAUAAAUGGAUCCAGGCAGAGAGGGAGACUGAAGACUGCCUGCUUUUAAUAAAGUUUGGUUUAGUUGUUGCUAAUUUGAUGUAAUUUUGUUUAAAGAUAGAAGAGGACACAAUUUUGGCCACAGUCACCUGGGGAAUUCCUCCUGAGGUUCAGAGCUAACUCAGGGCAAAUGAGCCCAGAUUAUCUGGGAGCUCCUGCUGUGCAGGGACAAACUGAGCUAACAGAAAAACUACAGCCUCCAAGGCAGACAACAGAAUUUGGAUAAGGAUGAAACCCUCUAGGAAAGUCUCAGUGUCUCACAGGAUUCUCAUAUUCUCUCAAAAGAGGGUUAAAUGUCCUGUCUUGGCAGAUUAGAAAAGGCCUGAAAAAACUGUUUCUACUCUGCUUGUUUGGUUUAGUUCCCUCGUAUGAGUAUUUAAUUUUCGAAAUGUAUGUGUUUUUGAAUUUUCUGGUUAUUUUACUAUUCCUCUGGGAAAGAUGUCAAGCUAAAAAUCUUUCUGGUUACUGGCUAAAGUGUCUGCUAAUUUGGGAGAAAGACCUUAUGUUUCUGCUUAUAGGAAAAGUAAUUAGGCACUGGACUCCUUCCAGGGUUCUCUGGGUCAGAAAGGGCAGAUGAGCCCCCCUGAAGAACUAGAAAAUUCAAGAGAACCAAGCAAGAAAGGUAAAGAUUCCUUAUGCCAUUGUUCACAAUGCAUGAACGAAGACGUAUGAUUAGUUAUUAUUAAAUUUGGCUCAUAAAAAGACUAUCUUUUCACAUGCUUAAACAAAGAGCAGUAUUUCAUCUUGAGUAGUCAAGGUAUUUCAUGUUAAACUGGUUCCCAAUUGGCUUAGCAAUCGAGCCUCAGGAUGCAGAGUAACACAGCUGCAUAGAGCUAGCCAUAGGGGCUGGGUGAAACUCUGAUGCCUGUGUUUAGCCAGACUUAGUGUGGGGUUAUUUUAAAAAUUACAUGUAACAAAAAGUGAUUGAAAGAAACUAAAGUCAAAGUUAGGAAAAUAGAAUAAAAAUUAUGGAAAAGAUAUCAGGGAAAAAGCUAAAGUCAAAAAUCCCAAGUAAAAUUCAAACAAAUAACCCACCUUGUAUUCUGUUCAGAAAAGUCACGAAGCUCUCUAGAAGGAGACAAGACAGGAUGCAGCUGUUGGGCUAUCUCAGGCAAACUCUGCACCGGAGCACCUGUUCAAAGAGAUUAGAACAUCAUUAUUGUAUCAUGGAUGUUUACUGGGAGAAUGGAAUGAUUUCACAGCUGAGUUGUGGAAUUCUAUUGAUCUAUAAAAUAACCUAUGCAGUGAAUAAUAUAAAGUUAUGAAAUAUCUUCCAGCUUCAUUAAUCAGAACUAUAAAUUUUCAAUCUAGCCCAUGUAUGCUGAUGGUAACUGUCGCUUCUGUUUCCGACCCGCAGAAAAGAGCGACUACACAGCGUUCUUUUCAAAGCGGUUUAUUCAAGAACCUUACAACAUGCAAACAGGAAUCUUUCUUUUCUUUUCUUCUGUCUCCCUCCCAGCCCAGCCCCCGAGCACACUCCCUUGUAUCCUCCCUCAACUCCGCCUCCUCAAUCCAGACUGCAUAAUCUCAGUUCAUAGGUCCACGUCACAUGGCCUGAUCUUGCAUCAUGGUGCACCUGCACAGCUCUCACAAUGGAUGUGGCUAGUUUCAGGUGUGUGAGGAAGUCAGAUGCUAGUCACGAGACUUAGCUGCAGUCCCAGGCGCCAUCUUGGGACUACCGCCACACCCGCUCCCCACAGGUAACUGUGAUUUCAAGGUCAUUUCCAAUCAUCUAUGUUAAGUGUUUUGACUCAAGGAAACUGGCAUUGCCAUAGAUGAAAUCAGUAAAAGGCAUAUUUAUUUCUUCUUUGCCACAUAACUAGACAAAUGUCAGUUCAAAAAGUUGCGAUCAUUUAGUGUACUUUUUUCAUCUCAGUUACUUAUGUAUUUUUUCAUUUAUUUAAAUUUCCAUACAUGUAUACAGUAAAAUAUGGUCAUAUCCACCCUAACAUCUGUCCUCCAACUUCUACAAGAUCCCUCUCAGAAUCCCCCGAUUGACUCUAUAGCCCUGGUUGGUCUGGGACUUGCUGUGUAAAUCAAAUUAGCCUAGAACUCACAGAGGUCCACCUGAAUCUGAUCCUGGGCUUAAAAGUCAGCACCACUAAACCAUUCCUCUGUGUGUGUGUGUGUGUGUGUGUGUGUGUGUGUGUGUGUGUGUGUGUGUGUACAGAAAUACACAUACACACAUUUUUUGUAUCCCAGUAAGCCCUAUUAGUGCUAGUCAUACAUGCAUACUGUGUGUACAGACAUUCACUGGAUUAUCAGAGUCCUACCAGUGGCUUGUCCCCAAGGAAGAGUGAAUUUCUAUCAGCUGUUGUUAACUGCAGCUCCUCAUUUGAUGCAAGGGCUUAUAAGUUCUUCUCCCACCCAUGCACGAUGUGCAAACAAAUGACACAGCCACCUCCGUCACUUUACUCGGUUAACAUAUACUAAUAAAAUGUUAUGGUAUUUUCAAAUUUAUAUGUAUCUGUAUUGUAUAUGUAUAAUGACACAUUGUAUAUACUUGUAAUGGCUAUUCUUGGUUGUGAACUUGACUAUAUGUGGAAUGAACUUCAAUCCAGAAUUGGAAAGCUCACCUUUGAUCCUGAUUUGAGGCUGGGAGACACAAAUUUCUGAACUGAAUCUUGGCAUGGAGAUCAUGAGGCAAAGUGGCUGUGAAUCUCAGGAGUUUAAGACAAGGAGAUCUCUGAGUUCAAGGUCACCUAGGACAAAGCAAGUCCCAGUUCCAGCUGUGGUGGUACACACCUUUAAUCUGGGACACACCUUCUGCUGGAGAUUUAUAUAAGGACAUUGGAAGAAGGAAGAGUCUCUCUUUCAUCUGCCUGCCUGAUUUGUAGGACUGAGCCACUGCUAGAUCCUUGGACUCCUAUUCAUACCUGUUGCUGAUCAUUGUUGGGGAGUUGGACUAUAGACUGCAAGUCAUCAACCAAUUGUCUUACUGUACAGAGAUUUCCCAUAAGUUCUGUGUCUCUAAAGAACCCUGUAUAAGACAAUUCUCUUUUAUAAUAUCUAAUUUCUAUUGAUAGAUAAUGUAAUUUAUUUUUUUAUUCAUAAUAUUAUUAUAUUCAUCCCUAUGUUUAUAUGUAAAUAAAACACAGGUUGUAUGCCUAUGAAACAGUAACACACUGCAUACUUGAUGACUGCUGUCUUUUCCCUACUCCCUACUGCAGGGGAGAAAAUGGACCAUUCUCAUCAAUGAAAAAGGUAAAAUAAAAUGUUAACUAUUGGCUGGAAACACAGAUGGUUUACACAUAAAAUUACAUCUUCUUGAUUGCUACUUUAGAAAUUUAUCUUCAUUUCCUGAAGUCACUUUUUAUGAUACAUUACUAUAUCAAAUACUAUCUCAUAGUUUUUAAGGUAAGUUAAUUUUAUUCUUGGUACAAAAGUAUACACAUAGUGUUGUGCAACUUCCAGUAAUAUCCGGGUAGGGCUUCGUGAACAUAACUGUAUGGUUUAAUACUUCCCUAUGUGAUCCAAAGCUCUUUUGUUGUUAUAUUAUGAUCUCUAAGCAGAAUAUUUUUGAUCCUGAAAUUAUAUACAAUACCUAACUUUUUCUAAAACACUUCAUUAGCUCUCCAUAGAAUGCUAUUUAAGUGUGUUUGACUGUUCGGUCCCAGGAUAUGAAUUCCAGUAGAGCACUUUCUGGAUAAUAUUUCCUUACAAAGUGCUGUUAACUGCUUCCUCCAAGAAGUUAAUUUCUUGUCUUGAAAUUUAAACCUUAUGUUUAAAUAGAAGAUAGAGAAGGCAGAUGCUGGAUUAUUUAGUACCAAGCUGGUUUUCUGUCCUGAUAUGGGUAAGGGCUAGUCACUUGAGGUGUUUCUCAUUCCUUUGGAUUUGUAGCUGUUUCAGACUUUAUAAAUAAUCAUUUUGAGUAUUACAAGUCUAUGGGCAUUUUCUCACCAAAUUGUCCAUUUUUACAGGAGUAUUUUUCUUACAAGUUUGGAACCAUAAAAUAGAAACUUUCCUAACUAGUCAAGCUACUAGGGUGUAUGUGGGCAGGGUUUUGCACAUUUCCUGCUGUGUGAUUUAAUUGUGCUGUUCUGACCAUUUUUUUUGCAUAGUCUGCUGGCCAGGAUAAACUGGAAAUCUAUGUUAAAUCGUUGUCCAAGGAGGUAUUGCAGAUGUGGUCAGUAUUUGUUUUAAAGGAAACAGUGAAAGGCAUUCUUCACUCGAGCUUUGUGAAAUACUGUGCAGAUGCUUAUGGCUGUGGAUACUGUGUGGUGUGAGGAAUGCUGUUGUGCACUGACUGUGUGGUGUGAGGAAUGCUGCUGUGCACUGACUGUGUGGUGUGAGGAAUGCUGCUGUGCACUGACUGUGUGGUGUGAGGAAUGCUGCUGUGCACUGACUGUGUGGUGUGAGGAAUGCUGCUGUGCACUGACUGUGUGGUGUGAGGAAUGCUGCUGUGCACUGACUGUGUGGUGUGAGGAAUGCAGCUGUGCACUGACUGUGUGGUGUGAGGAAUGCUGCUGUGCACUGACUGUGUGAUGUGAGGAAUGCUGCUGUGCACUGACUGUGUGGUGUGAGGAAUGCUGUGGUGCAUUGACGCUGCCUUUUUUCUUUUCUCCCUACCCCUGCAUCCUUCUGGUGGUUCAGGUUGGACAACUAGGUGCCCAUGACCAAGUCCUCAUUGUGGAUGGAUUUAGUCUAUUUGGACAUUCUCAGGAAAGGGCAGCAGAACUCAUGACUAGUACCAGUCCCAUGGUUACCCUGGAAGUUGCAAAUCAAGGCAUCCUCUUUCACUGCCUGUCCACCUUUCUUACCCAGCCAUUGUCCUCCAUGGUGCAGAGAGCUUGCAGCUGAAUAUUACACUGAAUAUGGGGACCCCAAUGGAGGAGUUAGAGAAAGAACUGAAGGAGCUGAAGAGGUUUGCAAUCCCAUAGGAAGAACAACAAUAUCAACCAACCAGACCCCACAGCUACCAGGUAGGAAACCAUGAACUCAUGAGUACACAAGGAGGGAUCCAUGGCUCCAGCCACUUAUGUAGCAGAGGAUGGCAUUAUCCAACAUCGAUAGGUGGAAGAGUAAAGGUUUUGAGCUCUAUAAUAAUUCAGCUCAAAACCGCUCCCCAAAGAGUCCUCAAAAGCCUUGGACAGAGCACAGUCAUCCAACGAAGCUGCCUGGUAAAGACAGUCUGAUGAAAAACAGAGCAGAUCACCCUUUCAGCCCCAAUGUGACAAGUAAGAAGAGGCAUUCUCUAAGUCACCUUGUCACCCAGAUCAUUGUUUAUACUUUGAUCAUUGUUUUUUGUGUCCCUUGGCCAGCUAGAAUACAGUUUUCAUAGAGGUCUCAUAUUAGUCCAAAAUUAGGAUUUUAUUUGGAAAACCCUUGACCUUAUAGAUCAAAAUGCACUGUAAAUGUGUCUUCAAAAUGGAUCGGGUUUCCAAGUUAGUGGAGAUCAUUUUUACACUUAAAAGAGUUGCUAACAAAGUAGUGAGGAUGGAGUAUACUGAAUAGAGACCCCAACGUCCAAAAGGCUUCAACCUCCAAAAGGCUUCACGUAUUUACUCUCAUGUCUCUAGCCCAGAUCUCAUCUGGUCCUGGAGAAAGUCCUGCUCCUGGUCUGUGGCGUCAGGAGACUUGUAGGGGUGCGUGAAGCCGACUUCUGGUACAUCUUUGUCUCUGGCUCAGUGCUAAACAUCCUGCCCUCAGUGUAUGAUGGGUAUGCCAUGGCUCCUGCAUUUAAAGGAAUGUUGUUAUGUUUAUUUUACUUGUUAUUUAAUGUGACACUUGGGUUUUUAACACUAUUUCUAAUAGAUCAGCCUCCUAUCCCUGGAGAGAAGUGUGCAUAUACCACUACAACAGCAGCUAACAUCUGUCUUCACUGGAGAACCCUGCACUGAGGUCUAAGAUGAGCUGGAACACUUUCUUACUUGUGAAAUAUCUGACUUCUUUGAUACAGUUCCCAACAAAUUACAUUAACUAUCAUUCCUGAAUUUUGGUCAUUUAAGUUUAUUUCUAUUACACUAGUCAAAUAAAUUAAUGAAUCGGGGAACAUGAGAAUUAGUGUAAAUGAGUAAAUAAGAAAAUUUAAGAUUUUUUUUAUUGGGGUUGGGGAUUUAGCUCAGUGGUAGAGUGCUUGCCUUGGAAGCGCAAGGCCCUGGGUUCGGUACCAAGCUCAGAAAAAAAAAAGAUUUUUUUUAUUGAAAGCAUAGGGUCAAAAUUACAUUUUUUAUCAUGGCUUUUAAAAUAUAUUCUUUAAAAAACCAUUUAUUUAUUUAUUUAUUUAUUUAUUUAUUUAUUUAUUUAUUUUAUAAUCCAAUAUUAGCCCUUCCUGUCUUGCCAAUAACCCCUCAUACAAACCCGUCUAUCACCUCUUCCUGAGAUGGCAAAGCUCCUUUUGGGGUGUCAACCCCCAUGAUUGCUUUUUUAAAGAUUGUAAAACAGAUCCCCGAGGACAAAGUUCACCUUUUAUGCAGUUUUAUGAAUCUCAUUGUUUAUUUCUUUACAUUUCACAAGAACAGACCCCUCUACGUAGUCCUGAAGCUAGGAGCUAAAUUGCAGGAGUGACAAUGCCACAAACAGCAUGCAUCAGUGUAUAGAAAAAUCUUUUUAUUCCUUUGUACACACAGGUACAGCUGGUUACUUGGAGAGUGAGCCAUAAAGCAGUGUCAGGUCUGGUUAUACACCCAUUCCUCAGUUUUCUUACCUCCUCUGUGAGAAAGAAACAUGCAUGAAAUUUUGUUAAUAUCUCUGGUGAGUCUCUGAAGUAUUAGAUCUUCGUCUUUUCUUUUCUCGGUGUGUUACCCCUUCAAUGGAAGAACUUCAGGAAGAGUUUUACCAACUUGAGCUGCAUUGAGUAGUGGCCAGCAUGGAUCUCUAGUGUGACAAUGAUAUGUGGAUCCAGAGCUCCUCAGUGGACUCUAUGACAUCCAGCCAGGAGCACCUGAAAUAUUCCUCCAAGUCAGUUACCCCUGCUUCCACUCUACCAAGAGUGGUCCUGGCCAUUGGAAAACCCAGCAGAGGUGCUGCCCACCCCUGUGACUGUCUUCCAGCCCAUAUGAACAGACCUCCCUCCACCACCUCCUCCACCACAUGUCCACCUACACCAGUGGUUUUGAUGGCAUUUCAGUGGCUUUGCCCCUCCCACCACCUUCUGCAAACAAGGCAGGAUCCCAGUCUGCUCAGGUGGUUGCUGGCUAGCAAAAAAGAAGGAGGAGCAGCAGUGGUGGUCUGAGAUAUAGAAGGCCUGCCUGGAUAAGGAAGCAGAGAGGAAGCACGGGGAGCAGGAGUAGAAUCUGGGGCAGAUGCACUCUCAUUCCCUGAUCCCUGCUUCCUUAUCUCUUUUGGCCACACCGGCCCAACCAGGAAAACCUUCCACACUGCAGAGGCCCCAAGAAACAGUUACUCUGGAGCUGUAGCCCCAGCAGCAGCCCCCCACUAUUGAGCACAGGAAUCUGCAGUAGAAAACUAUCAGUAAAGAGGAGUUGUCCUAUGGGGAUAGUCUGUCUCCAGACCCAUGGAAACAAGAUGCCAGGGAGAAGCUGGAGAAGCAACAGCAAAUGCACCUUGUGGACAUGCUAAGCAAGGAGAUCCAUGAGCUGCAAAACAAGGGGGACGGUAGUGCAGAGGAGAGUGACUGCCUGUGGAAGCUUAUGCUGGAGUGGCUGUUUUGGAAGAGACUUCAGGCUAUAUUUCUUGUGUUUCUCCCAGGUUCAUUUCUUGAACCUGUUCUUGAAAACUGUUCAAGCAGCCCAACAUUUGACAUUUUCAAAGUAGAAAUUCAUAACAACUAUGUUUUUGACAUUCUGGCCUUAGAUAAUUCUACAGUGAUGUCUAUGGUUAAGUGCCAGGCAGUGAGAACCCAGGAGUGACGAUCAGAGGUACACAGGAUGACCUGAAGGUGAGGUGCUCCUGGAGCCCAGUGUCCUGAGUGCAGGUCCUCAACCUUACAGCUGCCCACUCCAGCUGUGCCUGGGAUGGAGCCAGUGCUACCGACCUAGGAAGCAGCUCAGGGACUGUGCUUACUAUGUUCCCCAUUGGUUCAGUUCAUGACAAAGGUUAAUCUGAAGUAACAGCAGGAAUUUUAGCCCGCUGGAAUUCUGUAUCUGAGAAAGUACAUGUCUUUAGGAACAUCAAGAUGCUCACGUCUAACACGUUUCAGCUUUAUAUGUCACAGAUAUCAUAAUAAAGUUGUUUAUAACCUUUUUCUGUUUGGGGUAGCUCAAGGGUAGAAUGUCCUGACCCUGAGUAUUAUAUCUAAUUACCCAGAGAGAGAGAGAGACAGGAAGGAAGGGAGGGGUAGA